RNAcentral lists this long non-coding RNA (79387 nucleotides) under Citrus maxima (pomelo). RNAcentral describes it as "long non-coding RNA (CMAX_LNC003319)". Lineage: Eukaryota; Viridiplantae; Streptophyta; Magnoliopsida; Sapindales; Rutaceae. The record is from RNAcentral.
AAAAGAAAAAAGUGGAGCUAUUGGCACCUCCUUAAAAAACUUAGUUGAAACCCAAUUGUCAUGUUUAUAUUUCUAUUCUUAGUUAAGAUUAGGAUUAUUAUUAUUUCACUACUUCAAAAAUUAAAAAAAAAAAUCAAAUGACUACAAAAAGUAUUGUUCCCUAUCAUUAAUAAAGAUAUAGUGAUAACACACCACAUGUACCACACACUUUUAGGAAAUAAUAAAGAUUCGAGGAAGGUCCAAUCAGGACACUGGUACGGUGUAUAUAGAAAUAUAAAAUGGGUGAUGGUUACAUUUGAUAUUGGCCCAUGGACAAAGCCCAAUAUUUUAUGUCCUCCGCACUAGGGAUGGCAAUGGGGCAGAUAUGGAUUGGAUCUAUUCUGCUCCAGAUCCAAAUCCAUAAUAAAAAUCAAGAUUCGUAUAUGCUCCAGAUCCGUCAUGAAUCCAUAUUUUUCGCUCCAUAUCCAAAUCCAAAAAAGAAAUAAAUAUCUAUAUCUGCUCCAAAUCCGAAAAAAAAUUUAAAAUCCAAAUCUGCUCUAGAUCCGUCAUGAAUUCUAAAAUUCAGUAAUAAAAAAGUAAUAAUUUUUUAGAUUGAAAAUUAAAAGCUAAAAUGUAUUGAUAACAAAUAAAUUAUAUAAUUUUUCUCAAAAAUAUAAUAAAUAUUGUAGCUUAUACUUUUACACGAAAACAACAAAUAAGAAAGAUAAUAAAAUAUCAUUCAGAAGUAAUUGUAGGAGUAAGAUCAAUCUAAUAUUCUAUUGUCUCCUUCAUCAUUCUAAUAUCCACGAUACACCUACCCUCAUUCCUACAACAUUAGAUAAUAACAUAUAAAUUAAAUAUGAUUUAUAUUCAGUCAUUUAUUAUUUUUAUUAUAACAUAUUUAACUAAAUAUACGAAUAACUAUAUUCCUUAAAAAUUAUUUGGCCAAUAUAAUAAAAUAAAUUGCCAGGUUAUAUUACUUGGCUUGCAAUUUGAAUAUUGCAUGUACAUGCUUUGGGGCUGGCUGACCUUUAAAUUUACGAAACUAAUAUUUAAGUUUUAAGAGUUUAAAUGCAUGGUAAAUACUACUAAUAUGCUAUGAAUAAAAUUUAUUAUCAUUAUAAUUCCACAAUUGUUAAGAAACUUUUAAAAUAAAAUAAAAUUAAAAGAUGAGUGGAUAUGGAUAUGGAUUUAGAUAUUAAGAUAGAUUCAUAUCUGCUCCAGAUCCGUCUUACAUCCGCACAUCGAUAUCCAAAUCCAUUUUAAACAGAUCCAAAUCCGAUCCGAUUGGAUUUGGAUCACGUGAAUCUUGGAUCAGAUCCAAUCCAUUGCCAUCCCUACUCCGCACUGGUCACUGGUUACCGUAAUUCUAAUUGAACUCAUGGAAUCCAUAAACUAGGUAUAAGACAAUAAGACAUCACUCUUUCUAGAUUAGAGUAAACCUUUUGACACACCCUUUUGAAUUCCCCGUGAAAUCAUUUUUAAAAAAAUCUAAAUAAUCAAAGUAAAUUAAUUUAUUUCUUGUUUUGAAAGGAAAUUCAAACUUUUUAUUCUGAAACGAAAUUCAAUCUAACACUUAAAUAAAUGAUUAUUUUAACAAGCUUUUUACAUCCAUCCUAUUUCAUAAUUUAUAGUUAUAUUUUAAGUUUUUUCUUUUGAAAAACUUAUAAGAAUUUGGAUUUAUGAUGAUGAAAAUUAUAUAAUAAAAAUAAAACAAUUUGAGAUUUUUAUGAUUCGUGUAAAAUUUAUAAAUUAAAAACUUAAAAAAAAAUCUUUCUAGGGUAGAGUUUUAUAGCAAGAUGCUAAUUUUUAUUUUUAUUUUUAUAUUUUUAUCAAUUAAAUUGGAGGCUUUUAGGAAAUAAAAUUUAAAAAGGGUAUUGUAAGGAUUUUAGAGGGGUGUUAGAAGCUCCACUCUUUUGUACUAGUCUUACGGACAUAUGGUUACAAUUGAUAUUAGCCUAUGGGUAAAGCUUUGUAUUUUAUGUUAUCAACUAUAAUUCUAGGUGAACUCAUUGAGGUUAGCCUUGAAUUAGGGGUGGGUAAAUUAUCCGAUCCGAUAAAAUUCAAAUCUCAAUGCAGUGAUGCACAUACAAACACAAAGUUUUGAUCCAAUCCGAUUUAUAUCGAAUCGGUUCGUAUUAUAAGUUUAGGUUGAGUUCGGAUUACUUUUUUUUCCAACUUAAUUAAUCCAAAAUCUGAUCAGGUUAAUCCGAACCCGAAUUUACCUACCCCUACAACUAUCAUUAGAGGAUAUAAUUAUAAAAAAAGGAAAAUAAAGUUAUACGAUUAUUUGCAAUAAUUAAUGUCUAAAGCAAUGAAGCAAAUAGUUACUUGGAUGAACCUCAAACACCAUCAGCAAAUAAUUCAUGUCUUAUUUAUAAGUUUGAAAAUGAAAUAUCACCAUCAGUAAUGCUUUGACAUUGUAAAUCACACUUAUCCCAUUACAAACAAACAAUUAGGUACCAUACCAUCACCUAAAUUUUAUAUCUUAAAAAUGGUCCCUUAUCUAAAUAUAAUAAUUAGUCAUUGAAAAGUCCAUAAAAUUUAACAUACAAUCAAAGACCUUAUGAUUGAUGUAAAGUGUCUUUUUAUUUUUAUUUUUUUUCAAUUUUAUUUGGUCAUACACGCAUUACUUGUUUUCUAAAUUAACAUAAAUUCCAAUUUUUUCAUUUAUUAAUAUUUUAAUGCGAUCACAAUACUCGUUCCAAGUUGUAUUAUAUGGGAUUAAUAUUAUGACAGAGUCUCAAGUCUGACCUAUCUCAACAUAGGUAGUUGAACGUAUUUGACCAAAUUACCCUUUCUUAGCGCCAAAAUUCAGUUAGGUACAAUCAAUCGCAGCAGCAAGUACUUUGACAUUUUGAAACGAAGCACACGUUUCAUUCUGGCGUGACUGAUCAGUUCCUCGCAGUUUCCCCUUCAAGCCCAAAGCGUUGACGAAGGAAAAAUGAACAGAGUCUUCACUGGUAAGAGCACAACUCUACAUGAAAGAUUCACAUUUUCUUUGUUCUUUAUUAUUUCUUUCAACUGUCACUUUGUCUUCAUGAUUUUCAUCUUCAUGAUUUUCAUUUUCUUCAUUCUCUUCGUGGCAGCCUCCCUUUUCUCCAAUUCUUAAUAAACGCCAAAAAUGCUAGGUUCAGUUCUCUUAUUGAUUGAUUCUGCUUUCUGGGUUUGUGAGAUAUGUUGAUUUUGCUUCAUGGGUUGUUUUUUCAAUUAGUUAUAUUUUGUGGGUUUUUGAAAUAUUUGGUCAUGCUUCAUUUGUGUAUUUGAUGAUCAUUUCAUUUUGCUUCAUGCUUCUUGAAUCAUUGAAAUGAUUGAUUAAGUUUCUUGUAUGCUUUGAUGGAUUGUUGAAGUAAUUGAUUUUGCUCCGUGGGUAUGUUGAACUAUUGGCUUUUAUUUAUUGGGGAUUUUAAAUUAGUGUUUUAAUUGGUUUAUUGAUUUGUGGAAAUAGGGUUACUGGUUUUGAGUUGAUUUUGAGUAGGGUUUACAAAAUGGCUCAGCUUUUGAGGAAAAUUCUGCCUGUUGUGCCAUUGAGAUCAAAACCUUAUGAUGAUGAUGAGGAUGAUAAAAAUAACACUGAAUACUCAUUUGCCAUUGAGUAUUCUGGCCCUCCGAUCAGUUCUGAUAUUCCUCUGGCGUCGCCAAUAGUUGUUGACCAAAUCCCCAUUGCUGUUACGGUUGCCUCUCCUUCCUUGUUGAGUGAUAGGUCCUUGCCAGUAAUCCAACCAAUUGUAAAAAGUACUCCAGUAGACAGAAGACGGUCGAAGGAGCCUGAAUUAAGUUCUGAACCUACAUUACGUAGUAAUUCAUUGACCAAUUCCGGUGUGUCCUUGACUGUUCCUAAUGUGCCCUGUGAAUCACAAAGUUUGGUAUAUAGCUCAGGUGAUGUUGGAUGCGCAACUGGUGAUUACUCCCAGCCCAAGUCAGUUAAUGGAGUGAGAAAUUCUAAUAAAUUCAGAAGUCCUGAUGCUCAAGAUAAUUCAUCUAACGGAAUAAGAAGUUCUGCUAAACUGAAUAGUCUUGAUUGUCAUGAUAAUUCAUAUGUAAUUCUAAAAUUAUCUGAUGGUAGUGAAGAAGGUGCAGAUGCAGGAUUACAAAAUGGUAUAAAUCCUGCCAAUUCGGAUUCAACAGAUUCUGGUUUAAGUUCACAUGAACAUACAUCAAAGCUUUUUUCUUGCAAGGAGGGAUAUUUUGGUGAUGAAGAAGCUCCUUCCAAUGUUAGAGGAUCAUCAGUUGUUAUUUCUGAUGAUCCUGAGACAAGUGAUAUAGUCCAUGAAGAAUCUGAUAACUCUGAAAGCGUCCAUGUGAGGGCAAAGGCUGAAAGGUAUGGGAAGAAAAGUUCAUGCUGUCAAUGCUUGCAGGAAUAUCAAUCUCUUGAAAUGGAGGUUUGCAUAGUUUGUGAUGCAAUGUAUUGUUGUAACUGUGUGGUGAGAGCAAUGGGGUCAACACCUGAAGGAAGAAAAUGUGUUUCCUGUGUUGAUUCCAGGUUACAUGUGUGCAUGCCCAUGUCAUCUAAUGGAAUAGGAAGUUCUGGUAAAUCACAUAGCCUCAACUGUCACGAUAAUAUGCCUGUAAACAAUGAGUUGCCCGAUAAUAGGAACGAUGGCGCUAAUGCAGGAUUUCAUGAUUAUAUGAAUCCUGCUAACUCAGAGUCAACGGAGUCAGAUCUAAGUUCACACAGUGUUUCCUCUGAGGUGUUUUCUUGCAAAGAGGGGGGUUUUAAUAAGGAAGAAACUCCUGGCCAUAUUAGAAAACCAUCAGUCGUUACUUUCCGUGACCCUGACCCAAGUGAUGCAGUUUAUGAAGAAUCUGAUUAUUCUGAGGUUGAAAGCAUCCAUGAGAGGCCAAAGGCUGUAAGGCUAGGGAAGAAAGGUUCGUGCUAUCGAUGCUCGAAAGGAAAUCGGUUCACUGAGAAGGAGUUCUGUAUUGUUUGUGGUGCAAAAUAUUGUUCAAACUGUGUGCUGAGGGCAAUGGGGUCAAUGCCAGAAGGAAGAAAAUGUGUUACUUGCAUUGGUUUCAGCGUGGUAGAUUCUAAGAGACGAAACCUGGGGAAGUGUUCUCGGAUGCUCAAAAGGUUGCUGACUGAGACAGAAGUUAAACAAAUAAUGAUAUCUGAAAUAUCGUGCAAAGCAAAUCAGUUACCACCAGAGCGUGUUUUUGUGAAUGGUGAAGCUUUAUCUCAGAAAGAGCUCGUUAUACUGCUUAGCUGCCCAAACCCUCCAAAAAAGCUAAAUCCAGGAACCUAUUGGUACGAUAAAGUGUUGGGUUAUUGGGGAGAGGUAAACAUCAGAAACUGUUGCUAUUAUUUAAUUUUCUUUUCUUGUUUAUUUUGAUUCCAUUGCACCAUGAUAGAAUUAAUAUUUGAAUUCCAUUGCACCAUGAACAGGAAGGACACCGGCCUUGCCAGAUUAUAAGCCCCCAGCUGAAUGUCGGGGGUCAGAUAAUGAAAAAUGCUAGCAACGGAAAUACAAAUGUCAUGAUCAAUAAUCGGGAGAUUACUAGAAGAGAGCUCUGGAUGCUUAAGGUUAUUUCAGUGGGCAAAUUUGUGUGUUCAUUUGAAAUUCAGUGUUUCUAAAAAUAAGAUCCAUUCUAUUCUGUAUUUCUGUUAAAUGCUGCAGUUAGCAGGAGUGCAAUGUGAAGGACAACCUCACUUUUGGGUGAGCGCAGAUGGUUCCUACACGGAAGAGGGAAUGAAAAAUGAAAAGGGGCGUAUAUGGGACAAGGUAUGUCUGCAUAUGGAUGUGCAUUGGCUUUCUUAGUUAAACUAUCCCUUAAUUUCUGAUUUGUGAUUACUGUGUAUGUACUUUACAGAGUACAAUAAAACUAGUUUGUGCUUUCUUGUCUUUGCCAACCCCGCCUGAUUCUGAGAAUCCUUGUGGCAAUGAAGUGAAUGGUGUUAACCAGUGUGAGCAGCAAAGACUUAUUAAUCUUCUUCUUCUUGGUGAACACAAAUCUGGCACGAGUACCAUAUAUAAACAGGUGAGAUUGAUUGGAACCUGUAAGAAACUUUGUCUAAUACACGUGCUAUUAUUCAUAUACUAUUAAUCUGACUGGUGAAUAUUGAAUGGCUUAUAUUUAUCAUAUAAUGCAGCCAGCUUGUGUUGUCGUUUUGCUUCAUGUCUUGUCAUUUCUAGGACUUCAAGAUUUUAGAAGGAAAGAUGUUGUAGAGCAUGUUAGUUGAUUUUUAAAAUUUGUAUUAUCUGUAGUGUACUUAUUCACAAAGAUGACAUAUUAUGUUAUUUGACUACUAGCUUAAGAUUUCAUUAUUCAACAACAUUCAUCGGAGGUACAGUAAAUUGUGUAAUUGCACUUUGGUAUGAAGAGGGUUUUUAUUGUGCAUAAAAAGCUACAUACAAGAUGGUCUCAUAUCAUCACAUUGCCGCUGAUGCUUAAAAUAUAGUAGCGGAAAUCCUUUCUCCUUCUUGGUUACAUGCUGUGUUUUGUGACUUUAUGGGAAAAUUAUGCCUUUCUAGAUCAUGUUAAGUUUUUGUAUUUGUAAUAAGGCAAAGGCCAUAAGUCUUCGUUAAGGUCUUAAGACUGAAAUUUUGAUUCCAUGGUGAAAAUUGAACAUCAAGUUUUAUUCUUUCUUUGGGCUGUAAUUUAAGCCUUUUAUCAUUUUUUUUUAUUUUGGAUCCCUUUUGUUACCUUUUUCUUUUUCUCCCUUUUUAGACAUUGAUGCAAAGGCACAUGAUGACAGAAAUGUUUGUUUCAGGCCAAACUUCUGUUUAAGGUUCCUUUCUCUGAAGAAGAGCGUCAAAAUAUUAAGUUCAUGAUCCAAAGUAAUCUGUACUUCUAUAUUGGUAUUUUGCUUGAGGGCCGUGAGCGAUUUGAAGCAGAAAGAUUGUUUGGGAAGGGAAAAAGACAGGUUAUUGACGAGCCAGGCCCUUCAGGUAACAUAAAGAUUAGAUUUACUUCUCUUUUACAUUGCUUGUAUGAUUUUCUGUUUAUUGAAUGUUCCAUGAGAUCUUGUUUGGAGCAUGCAGAUGACGUAUAAAAAUGUUUGCCUUUGUUAUCUACUGUUCUGAGUUAUUUUUGGUAGAUAUUUGACAUAUGCAUAUCACUUUUUUCUGGGAAGUCUAGCCCGUCAAAAGUCAAGUUCUUUGUUAUUAUUUUACAUGCAUGGAGAGCAUUUUUACUUUUGCUUGAUUUUUUGGACUUCUCACUUCUCAGUGCCUUUAGCGUUAAAAUUAUCAAUUGUGUUGGAUUGAAGUUCAUCACAUUGGCAAGUUGACCCUGAGGGUGGGAGGGACAACUAUGAUGUCCAGUAUUUUGUACAUUUAAUUAUUGAGAAUUUAAUAACUGUUGUCUCAUUGAAAUUUAAGUAUAUUUUAAUUCCGUACCUUCACUAUGUUCUUCUUGUGGGCACAAUUCUGGCCUGUGGUUUUGAUUUCAAUAUCUAGUAGAACAUGAAAUUUGGAGAUAAAUCAUUGCCUGCAGCCAAUUAGAACUUUCUUGUGACUAACCUGUGCCAUCAGCAGUAAACCUCAAAUUUCUUUAAAAUGUUCUUUUAACAUGUUUAACUAUUUAAAAUCAUUGGAGUAAAGAGCCUAUUGAAAUAGCAUCACAUAGCUUGUGAACAUAUUUGAUGCUUCUUGGUGGUUGCAAAUUUCAAAUUUUUUUUAAAGAAAAAUAAUCAUAUUUCUUUCUUUCCUUAUUUUCUAGUUUUUUUUUUAAAAAAAUUUCAGAGUAAAAAAUAUCCAGCAUGAAGAAAUUUAAAUUUAUAAUUAGUUUAGCAAUUGGGAGGACUGAUUUUAUUCAGGUACAACACUAAUACAGGGCAGAUUGAUGAUAAAAUGAUGUAUUCCAUCAGUCCAAGACUGAAAGCUUUCUCUGAUUGGCUUCUCAAAGUCAUGGCAUCUGGUAAUUUGGAAGCCAUAUUCCCAGCCGCUACCCGUGAAUAUGCACCAUUUAUUGAGGAGUUGUGGAGGGAUGCAGGCUUCCAAGCCACAUACAACCGGAGAAAUGAAUUAGACAUGCUUCCCAGACAUGCCACCUAUUUCCUAGAACGGGUUAGAUCACUAUCUAUGGUCAUUGUCUGCUGAGUAUUUCAUUAUUCAUAUUUGGUUCAGCUUCAGUAUGUAUCUUUUGUUUUUGGAUCAAUAGAGUCUUGAUUGUUUAUUUCAUUUGCCUCAUGAUUGUCCAGUGAUCUUGAAUAGCAUCCUCUAUUCCAUAGACAUAAUUGUCAAUGUACAUAUGACCUGCACCGUAAUUUAAAAAUUCCAAGUAUAUAUUUAAUAUUCUUGUAUUUUGGCUUCUUAUUAAUCAUGUGCUUUCUUAUCCCAUGUCAUUUCAGAAAACAUAUUUCAUAAAAGAUAUUUUUUGAAACUAAAAUGAAAGGCAUUCUGAAUUCACACCAUCAGUUCUCUUCGUGUAUUGUUUCUCAAAAGCUUGAACGAGGAAAGAUGAUUGUUUUGAUUUGUACUUCACUGUUUGCUAUUUUUUUCAAUAUUAACAUUAGUUUCCCUCUCAGGCUGUUGAGAUUUCAAGGACAGGCUAUGAGCCCUCAGAUAUGGAUAUCUUGUAUGCUGAGGAAAUUACAUCAAGCAAUGGGCUUUCGUCCAUGGUAUUUUCAUUACCGGAGCAGACACAAGAAAACUCCAUAAGUGACUCUUCCAAUCAGAAUGAUCCCUUGCUCAGGUUACUGUCUAAUCUGUGCUUUAAAUUUACGUAUAAGCCAAACAUGCAUUGCACUUUGCCAGAUUUUUGCUAUUGCUGUUGCUGUCAAAUGCCAUUGUGAGAUUUAGCUACCGAAGGAAAGGACUUCAUGGGUAGUAAUUCUGGCUUGCAGAUUGAAUUUUGGGUAGCUUAACUCAGUUUGAAUGGGGAUAUUGUCAUCAAUGAAUUGAGUCUGCAAUUCUGUUGGAACUGGAAGUUAUUAGCUAAGUUAGUGGUCCCACUUGGCUUGGCAAGACACAGAAAGAAUAAUCAGUUAAUUGCCUUUCAACUUCAAGAAUACUUUAAAUUUACCAGCAUUUCAUACUUGAGUUUUAGCUAUUGAUUUAUUUCUCUUCUUUGGCAUGAAAUGUUUUAGCAAUCAAAUAUGAAUAAUCUUUUACAGCUGUGAUGGAUCUUUGGCAUAAGUUUCUUGAAAGUGGGGAACGAUGUAUGAUUGAUUAUAAAUUGUUCAUCUAACUUACCAAUUUUUGCUUUGCACUUGCAGCUAUCAACUCAUUAGAGUGCAUCCAAGAAGCCUCGGGGAGAACUGCAAGUGGCUAGAAAUGUUUGAAGAUGUUGAUAUGAUCCUCUUUUGUGUUUCUUUGACUGACUACGAUGAAUAUUUUGAAGAUAGCAAAGGAUUUCUCACCAACAAGAUGUUGGCAAGCAGGCAGCUCUUCCAAAACAUUGUCAUUCAUCCAACCUUCAAUCAAAAGAACUUCCUUCUGAUACUCAACAAGUAUGAUAUGUUAGAGGAAAAGAUUGAAGAAGUUCCUCUCUCUCGAUGUGAAUGGUUUGAAGACUUCAAUCCGGUGAUCAGCCAUAAUCACCAUAGCACUAGUAGAAGAACUAGCAACACACCACUGGCUGUAUCUGCCGCCCACUACAUUGCAGUGAAGUUCAAGAGGUUGUUCGAUUCUCUAACUGGUCGUAAGUUGUUUGUUUCAGUAGUUACUGCCUUGGAGCCUGAGACUGUAGAUGAAGCUCUCAAUUAUGCAAAGGAGAUUCUGAAGUGGGAGGAAGAGGAACCUGUCUACACUAACAUUGAGUCAACUGAUUACGAGGCAAGCUCAUCAUCAUGAAUUUUCUUCUCGGGUUGAAUUUUGCUCAUCCAUCCUCAGUUAUACAAAACAUUGGAAAGGAUUUUUUUUUUUUUCCAAAGAUAGAAGAACAUCAGAAGAAAAUACAUUGGGUCAAGCACAUGCUUGUGUAUACUAAUCCAGAUUUGCAUAGAAGUUAGGGAGAUUAAGAUUCUUUCCUAGAGCUGUAAAGAACUGUCGUUUUGCCAUUUCAAUUAAGAUUUAGUAAAUAAAAGAAGAAUAAUUACUUUGCACAAUGAGACACAUAGCUGACAAGCUUGCAUAAAUACAAACGGACAUGGAAUUCAUUUUCGUUGCCUGAAUUUAACUGACGGAUUACAUAUCUUGUCUACAAACAAACAUGAAAAAAAAGACCUUUUUAACUACAUAAGGCUUCACAGAAAGAUUGAAUACACAUCAACAAGGCACAAACCGGUCCAUAAGCAAACAGAUAGUAGUCUCUGAUAUUGUACUUUCAUCUUCAACCUCUUUGGUGCUCUCCUUUUUAUCUUCUUUCCCACGUACUUGUUCUUUCUUAGCUCUUAACACAAACGGCUUCCUGCCUUUAACCUUCUCUCCCAGCUUCGCAAGCUCACCCAUGCAUAUCUCCACAACUGCCGACAUUUUCACUGCGAUAACCAAGAACCCACUUGGAAUUUUCAGCUGGCUCUUUCUUUCUUGUUGAUCUUUCUUUAUUGAAUAUGAAACGAGAAGCAACGUGGGGUUUAUAAAGAAGAGAAGGCGAGCAAAAGUCCACAUAGAAUUUGGCGGGUUCUGGAGACCCGCUGGUUUUGACUGUUGGGGAGAAAAAUCAAUGUGUGGAUGCCCACAGAGAUGCCGUUUUGAGAACCUUCUGUUCCAUUUAUCUUUCUUUGGAUUGGAUAUUCCCGCGUUUGCAAGAAAAUAUCCUUUUGCGUGACAGUUCUAAUGUGUGACGACUCACACAUUAAUUAUCAAUGCUCAAUUUCAAAACUAACCUCUAGUUCUUAACUUGGAGUAUUUGAUCAAACGGUGAGCUAUUAAUAUCUUACAUUGUUUUAUUAAUUUAGAGUUACAUCUUAAAACAUUUUAUUAGCACAGACUGACAGACACGUAACAAUUUUAUAUUACUAUAUAAAAUCUAAUAAAAUUAGACUCAUUAAUAUAAUAUUUGAUUAUAUAAUAAAAGAGUCUAUAAAAAUUUAUUCUGAUCAAAUAAAUAAAUAAUAAUUAGAGUGAUUUAUCCCGUGAUAUGGUUUUAAACCGCACCAAUUUUUUUUUUAAAAACUUAAAAAGAUCUUUUUAGGGUAGAGUUGUAUAGCAAGAUGCUAAUUUUAUUUUUAAAUUUAUAUUUUAUCAAUUAAAUUAGAGGUUUUUAGGAAAUAAAAUUUAAAAAGGGUAUUGUAAGGAUUUUAGAGGGGUGUUAGAAGCCCCACUCUUUUGUACUAGUGCUACGGACAUAUGGUUACAAUUGAUAUUGGCCUAUGGGUAAAGCCCUGUAUUUUAUGUUAUCCACUAUAAUUCUAGGUGAACUUAUUGAGGCUAAUCUUGAAUUAGGGGUGGACAAAUACUUCAAUCCAAUUGAAUCUGAAUCGCAAUGCAGCGAUGCACAUACAAGCACAAAGUUUUGAUCCAAUCCAAUUUAUAUUCGGAUUUAAUCGGAUUGUAUUAUAAGUUUGGGUUGAGUUCAGAUUACUUUUUUUUUUCCAAUUUGUUUAAUCCAAAAUCCAAUCGCGUUAAUUCGAACCUGAAUUUUCCUACCCCUACAACUAUCAUUAGAGGAUAUAAUUAAAAAGAAAUGAGUUAUACGAUUAUUUGCAAUAAUUCAUGUCUAAAGCUAUGAAGCAAAUACCCAAACAUCAUCAGCAAAUAAUUAAUGUCUUAUUUAUAAGUUUGAAAACGAAAUAACCCCAUCGAUAGCGCUUCCACAUUGUAAAUCGCACUUAUUCCAUUACAAACAAACAAUUAAGUACCAUACCAUAACCUAAAUUUCUAUCUUAAAAAUGGUUCCUUAUCUAAAUAUAAUAAUUAGUCAUUGAAAAAUCCAUAAAAUUUAAUAUACAAUCACCGACCUUAUGAUUGAUGUAAAAUGCAUUUUUUUUUCAAUUUUAUUUUGUCAUACACCCACCACUUGUUUUCUAUAUUAACAUAAAUUCCAAUUUUUUCAUUUAUUAAUAUUUUAAUGCGAUCACAAUACUCGUUCCAAGAUGUAUUAUAUAGGAUUAAUAUUAUGACAUAGUCUCAAGUCUGACCUAUCUCAACUUAGGUAGUUGAACGUACUUGACCAAAUUACCCUUUCUUAGCGCCAAAAUUCAGUUAGGUACAAUCAAUCGCAGCAGCAAGUACUUUGAAAUUUUGAAACGAAGCACACAUGUUUCGUUCUGGCGUGACUGAUCAGUUCCUCGCAGCUUCCUCUUCAACCUCAAAGCGUUGACGAAGGAAAAAUGAAAAGAGUCUUCACUGGUGAGAGCACAACUCUACAGGAAAGAAUUCACAUUUUCUUUGUUCUUUAUUAUUUCUUUCAACUGUCACUUUGCCUUCAUGAUUUUCAUUUUCUUCAUUCUCUUCGUGGCAGCCUCCCUUUUCUCCAAUUCCUAAUAAACGCCAAAAAUGCUUGGUUUAGUUCUCUUAUUGAUUGAUUUUGCUUUCUGGGUUUGUGAGAUAUGUUGAUUUUGCUUCAUGGGUUGUUUUUUCAAUUAGUUAUAUUUUGUGGGUUUUUGAAAUAUUUGGUCAUGCUUCAUCUGUGUAUUUGAUGAUCAUUUCGUUUUGCUUCAUGCUUCUUAAAUCAUUGAAAUGAUUGAUUAAGUUUCUUGUAUGCUUUGAUGGAUUGUUGAAGUAAUUGAUUUUGCUCCGUGGGUAUGUUGAACUAUUGGCUUUUAUUUAUUGGGGGUUUUUUAAUUAGUGUUUUAAUUGGUUUAUUGGUUUAUUGAAAUAGGGUUACUGGUUUUGAGUUGAUUUUGAGUAGGGUUUACAAAAUGGCUCAGCUUUUGAGGAAAAUUCUGCCUGUUGUGCCAUUGAGAUCAAAACCUUAUGAUGAUGAUGAGGAUGAUAAAAAUAACACUGAAUAUUCAUUUGCCGUUGAGUAUUCUGGCCCUCUGAUCAGUUCUGAUAUUCCCCUGGCAUCGCCAAUAGUUGUUGACCAAAUCCCCAUUGCUGUUACGGUUGCCUCUCCUUCCUUGUUAAGAGAUAGGUCGUUGCCAGUAAUCCAACCAACUGUAAAAAGUACUCCAGGAGGCAGAAGACGGUUGAAGGAGCCUGAAUUAAGUUCUGAACCUACAUUACGUAGUAAUUCAUUAACCAAUUCCGGAGCGUCCUUGACUGGUCCUAAUGUGUCCUGUGAAUCACAAAGUUUGGUAGAUAGCUCAGGUGAUGUUGGAUGUGCAACUGGUGAUUACUCCCAGCCCAAGUCAGUUAAUGGAGUUAGAAGUUCCAGUAAAUUCAGAAGUCCUGAUGCUCAAGAUAAUUCAUCUGACGUAAUAAGAAGUUCUGCUAAACUGAAUAGUCUUGAUCGUCAUGAUAAUUUGUGUGUAAUUCUAAAAUUAUCUGAUGGUAGUGAAGAAGGUGCAGAUGCAGGCCUGCAAAAUGGUAUAAAUCCUGCCAAUUUGGAUUUAACAGAUUCUGGUUUAAGUUCACAUGAACAUACAUCAAAGUUUUUUUCUUGCAAUGAGGGAUAUUUUGGUGAUGAAGAAACUCCUUCCAAUGUUAGAGGAUCAUCAGUUGUUAUUUCUGAUGAUCCUGAGACAAGUGAUAUAGUCCAUGAAGAAUCUGAUAACUCUGAAAGCGUCCAUCUGAGAGCAAAGGCUGAAAGAUAUGGGAAGAAAAGUUCAUGCUGUCAAUGCUUGCAGGAAUAUCAAUCUCUUGAAAUGGAGGUUUGCAUAGUUUGUGAUACAAUGUAUUGUUGUAACUGUGUGGUGAGAGCAAUGGGGUCAACACCUGAAGGAAGAAAAUGUGUUUCCUGUGUUGAUUCCAGGUUAGAUGUGUGCAUGCCCAUGUCAUCUAAUGGAAUAGGAAGUUCUGGUAAAUCAAAUAGCCUCAACUGUUACGAUAAUAUGCCUGCAAACAAUGAAUUGCCCGAUAAUAGGAACGAUGGCGCUAAUGCAGGAUUUCAUGAUUAUAUGAAUCCUGCUGACUCAGAGUCAACGGAGUCAGAUGUAAGUUCAUACAGUGUUUCAUCUGAGGUGUUUUCUUGCAAAGAGGAGGGUUUUAAUAACGAAGAAACUCCUGGCCAUGUUAGAAGACCAUCAGUCGUUAGUUUCCGUGACCCUGACCCAAGUGAUACAGUUUAUGAAGAAUCUGAUUAUUCUGAGGUUGAAAGCAUCCAUGAGAGGCCAAAGGCUGUAAGGCCAGGGAAGAAAGGUUCGUGCUAUCGAUGCUUGAAAGGAAAUCGGUUCACUGAGAAGGAUUUCUGUAUUGUUUGUGGUGCAAAAUAUUGUUCAAACUGUGUGCUGAGGGCAAUGGGAUCAAUGCCAGAAGGAAGAAAAUGUGUUACUUGCAUUGGUUUCAGCGUGGAUGAUUCUAAGAGACGAAACCUGGGGAAGUGUUCUCAGAUGCUCAAAAGAUUGCUGACUGAGACGGAAGUUAAACAAAUAAUGAGAUCUGAAAUAUUGUGCAAAGCAAAUCAGUUGCCACCAGAGCGUGUUUUUGUGAAUGGUGAACAUUUAUCUCAGAAAGAGCUCGUUAUACUGCUUAGCUGCCCAAACCCUCCAAAAAAGCUAAAUCCAGGAACCUAUUGGUAUGAUAAAGUGUUGGGUUUUUGGGGAGAGGUAAACAUCAGAAACUGCUGCUAUUAUUUAAUAUUCUUUUCUUGUUUAUUCUAAUUCCAUUGCACCAUGAUAGAAUUAAUAUUUGAAUUCCAUUGCACCAUGAACAGGAAGGACACCGGCCUUGCCAGAUUAUAAGCCCCCAGCUGAAUGUCGGGGGUCAGAUAAUGAAAAAUGCUAGCAACGGAAAUACAAAUGUCAUGAUCAAUAAUCGGGAGAUUACUAGAAGAGAGCUCUGGAUGCUUAAGGUCAUUUCAGUGGGCAAAUUUAUGUUCAUUUGAAAUUCAGUGUUUCUAAAAAUAAGAUCCAUACUGUUCUGUAUUUCUGUUAAAUGCUGCAGUUAGCAGGAGUGCAAUGUGAAGGACAACAUCACUUUUGGGUGAGCGCAGACGGUUCCUACCUGGAAGAGGGAAUGAGAGAUAUAAAGGGGCGUAUAUGGGACAAGGUAUGUCUGCAUAUGGAUGUGCAUUGGCUUUCUUAGUUAAACUAUUCCUUAAUUUCUGAUUUGUGAUUACCGUGUAUGUACUUUACAGAGUACAAUAAAACUAGUUUGUGCUUUGUUGUCUUUGCCAACCCCUCCUGAUUCUGAGAAUCCUUGUGGCAAUGAAGUGAAUGGCGUUAACCCGUGUGAGCAGCAAAGACUUAUUAAACUUUUUCUUCUUGGUGAACACAAAUCAGGCACGAGUACCAUAUAUAAACAGGUAGGAAUUAUUGGAACCUGUAAGAAACUUUGUCUAAUACACAUGCUAUUAUUAUUCAUAUAUUAUUAAUCUGACUGGUGAACAUUGGAUGGCUUAUAUUUAUCUUAUUAUGCAGCCAGCUUGUGUUGUCGUUUUGCUUCAUGUCUUGUCAUUUCUAGGACUUCAAGAUUUUAAAAGGAAAGAUGUUUUAGAGCAUGUUAGUUGAUUUUUAAAAUUUGUAUUCGAUGUAGUAUACUUAUUCACAAAGAUGUCAGAUUAUGUUAUUUGACAACUAGCUUAAGAUUUCAUUGUUUAACAACAUUCAUCGAAGGUACAAUAAAUUGUCUAAUUGCACUUUGGUACGAAGAGUGUUUUUUAUUGUGCAUAAAAAGCUACAUACAAGGUGGUCUCAUAUCAUCACACUGCCGUUGAUGCUUAAAAUAUAGUAGCGGAAAUCCUUUCUCCUUCUUGGUUACAUGCUGUUUUUUGUAACUUUAUGGGGACAUUAUGCCUUUCUAGAUCACGUUAAGUUUUUGUAUUUGUAAUAAAGCAAAGGCCAUAAGCCUUUGUUAAGGUCUUAAAACUGAAAUUUUGAUUCCAUGGUGAAUUGAACAUCAAGUUUUAUUCUUUGUUUCGGCUGUACUUAAAGACUUUUAUCAUUUUUUUAUUUUGUAUCCCUUUUGUACCUUUUUCUCUUUCUCCCUUUUUAGACAUUGGUGCAAAGGCACAUGAUGACAGAGAUGUUUGUUUCAGGCCAAACUUCUGUUCAAGGUUCCAUUCUCUGAAGAAGAGCGUCAAAAUAUUAAGUUCAUGAUCCAAAGUAAUCUGUACUUCUAUAUUGGUAUUUUGCUUGAGGGCCGUGAGCGAUUUGAAGAAGAAAGCUUGUUUGGGAAGGGAAAAAGACAGGUUAUUGACGAGCCAGGUCCUUCAGGUAACAUAGAGAUUAGAUUUACUUCUCUUUUCCAGUGCUUGUAUGAUUUGCUGUUUAUUGAAUGUUCCAUGAGAUCUUGUUUGGAGCAUGCAUAUGACGCAUAAAAAUGUUUGCCUUUGUUAUCUACUGUUUUGAGUUAUUUCUGGUAGAUAUUGAACAUAUGUAUAUCACUUUUUUCUGGGAAGUCUAGCUUGUCAAAAGUCAAGUUCUUUGUUAUUAUUUUACAUGCAUGGAGUGCAGUUUUACUUUCACUCGAUUUUUUGGACUUCUUAGUGCCUUUAGCGUUAAAAUUAUCAAUUGUGUUGGAUUGAAGUUCAUCACAUCAGCAAGUUGACCCUGAGGGUGGAAGGGACAACUAUGAUGUCCAGUAUUUUGUACAUUUAAUUAUUGAGCAUUUAAUAACUGUGGUCUCAUUGAAAUUUAAUGAUAUUUUUAUUCUGUACCUUCACUAUAAUCUUCUUGCAGACACAAUUCUGGCCUGUGGUUUUGAUUUCAGUAUCUGGUAGAACAUGAAAUUUGGAGAUAAAUCAUUGUCUGCAGCCAAUUAGAACUUUCUUGUGACUAACCUGUGCCAUCAGUAGUAAACCUCAAAUUUCUUUAAAAUGUUCUUUUAACAUGUUUAACUAUUUAAAAUCAUUGGAGUAAAGAGCAUAUUGAAAUAGCAUCACAUAGCUUGUGAACAUAUUUGAUUCUUCUUGGUGGUUGUAAAUUUCAUUUUUUUUUUAAGAAAAAUAAUCAUAUUUCUUUCUUUCCUUAUUUUUGAGGUUUUAUUUUUUUAUUUUUUUAUUUUUUCAGAGUAAAAAAUAUUCUGCAUGAAGAAAGUUACAUUUGUAAUUAGUUUAGCAAUUGGGAGGACUCUGAUUUUAUUCAGGUACAACACUAAUACAGGGCAGAUUGAUGAUAAAAUGAUGUAUUCCAUCGGUCCAAGACUGAAAGCUUUCUCUGGUUGGCUUCUCAAAGUCAUGGCAUCUGGUAAUUUGGAAGCCAUAUUCCCAGCCGCUACCCGUGAAUAUGCACCAUUUAUUGAGGAGUUGUGGAGGGAUGCAGGCUUCCAAGCCACAUACAACCGGAGAAAUGAAUUAGACAUGCUUCCCAGAAAAGCCACCUAUUUCCUAGAACGGGUUAGAUCACUCUCUAUUGUCCUUGUUUGCUGAGUAUUUCAUUAUUUGUAUUUGGUUCAGCUUCAGUAUAUAUCUUUUGUUUUUGGAUCCAUAGAGUCUUGAUUGUUUAUUUCAUUUGCCUCAUGAUUAUCCAGUGAUCUUGAAUUGCAUCCUCUAUUCCAUAGAUAUGUCAUAAUUGUCAAUGUACAUAUGACCUGUACUGUAAUUUAAAAAUUCCAAGUACAUAUUUAAUACUCUUGUAUUUUGGCUUCUUAUUAAUCAUGUGCUUUCUUAUCCCAUGUCAUUUCAGAAAGCACAUUUCAUAAAAGAUAUUUUUUGAAACCAAAAUGAAAGGCAUUCUGAAGUCACACCAUCAGUUCUCUUCUUGUAUUGUUUCUCGAAAGCUUGAACUAGGAAAGAUGAUUGUUUUGACUUGUAGUUCACUGUUUGCUAUUUUUUCAAUAUUAACAUUAGUUUCCCUCUCAGGCUGUUGAGAUUUCAAAGACAGGCUAUGAGCCCUCAGAUAUGGAUAUCUUGUAUGCUGAGGGAAUUACAUCAAGCAAUGGGCUUUCGUCCAUGGUAUUUUCAUUACCGGAGCAGACACAAGAAAACUCCAUAAGUGACUCUUCCAAUCAGAAUGAUCCCUUGCUCAGGUUACUGUCUAAUCUGUGCUUUAAAUUUACGUAUAAGCCAAAAAUGCAUUGCACUUUGCCAGAUUUUUGCUAUUGCUGUUGCUGUCAAUUGCCAUUGUGAGAUUUAGCUACCGAAGGAAAGGACUUCAUGGGUAGUCAUUCUGGCUUGCAGAUUGAAUUUCGGGUAGCUUAACUCAGUUUGAAUGGGGAUAUUGUCAUCAAUGAAUUGAGUCUGCAAUUCUGUUGGAACUGGAAGUUAUUAGCUAAGUUAGUGGCCCCACUUGGCUUGGCAAGACACAAAAAGAAUAAUCAGUUAAUUGCCUUUCAACUUCAAGAAUACUUUAAAUUUACCAGAAUUUCAUACUUUAGUUUUAGCUAUUGAUUUAUUUCUCUUCUUUGGCAUGAAAUGUUUUAGCAAUCAAAUAUGAAUAAUCUUUUACAGCUGCGAUGGAUCUUUGGCAUAAGUUUCUUGAAAGUGGGGAACGAUGUAUGAUUGAUUACAAAUUGUUCAUCUAACUUACCAAUUUUUGCUUUGCACUUGCAGCUAUCAACUCAUUAGAGUGCAUCCAAGAAGCCUCGGGGAGAACUGCAAGUGGCUAGAAAUGUUUGAAGAUGUUGAUAUGAUCCUCUUUUGUGUUUCUUUGACUGACUACGAUGAAUAUUUUGAAGAUAGCAAAGGAUUUCUCACCAACAAGAUGUUGGCUAGCAGGCAGCUCUUCCAAAACAUUGUCAUUCAUCCAACCUUCAAUCAAAAGAACUUCCUUCUGAUACUCAACAAGUAUGAUAUGUUAGGAGAAAAAAUCGAAGAAGUUCCUCUCUCUCGAUGUGAAUGGUUUGAAGACUUCAAUCCGGCGAUUGAAGUUUUUUACCACAGCACUGGUAGAAGAAAUAACAACGCACCACUGGCUCUAUAUGCCGCCCACUACAUUGCAGUGAAGUUCAAGAGGUUGUUCGAUUCUCUAACUGGUCAUAAGUUGUUUGUUUCAGUAGUUACUGCCUUGGAGCCUGAGACUGUACAUGAAGCUCUCAAAUAUGCAAAGGAAAUUCUGAAGUGGGACGAAGAGGAACCUUUCUACACUAACAUUGAGUCAACUGAUUAUGAAGAGUCAACUGAUGACGAAGCAAGCUCACCAUCGUGAUUUUUCUUCUCGGGUUGAAUUUUGCUCAUCCAUCCUCAGUUAUACAAAACAUUGGAAAGGAUUUUUUUUUUUCCAAAGAUAGAAGAGCAUCAGAAGAAAGUACCUAGGGUUAAGCACAUGCUUGUGUAUACUAAUCCAGAUUUGCAUAGAAAGUUAGGGAAAUUAAGAUUCUUUCAUAGAGCUGUAAAGAACUGUCGUUUUGCCAUUUCAAUUAAGAUUUAGCAAAUAAAAGAAGAAUAAUUACUUUGCACAAUGAGACACAUUGCUGACAAGCUUGCAUAAAUACAAACGGACAUGGAAUUCAUUACUUGCGGAUUACAUAUCUUGUCUACAAACAAACAUGAAAAAAAGACCAUUUUAACUACAUAAGGCUCCACAGAAAGAUUGAAUGUACAUCACCAAGGCACAAACCGGUCCAUAAGCAAACAGAUAGUAGUCUCUGAUAUUGUACUUUCAUCUUCAACCUCUUUGGUGCUCUCCUUUUUAUCUUCUUUCCCAUGUACUUGUUCUUUCUUAGCUCUCAACACAAACGGCUUCCUGCCUUUAACCUUCUCUCCCAGCUUCGCAAGCUCACCCAUGCAUAUCUCCACAACUGCCGACAUUUUCACUGCUAUAACCAAGAACCCACUUGGAAUUUUCAGCUGGCUCUCUCUUUCUUGUUGAUCUUUCUUUGUUGAAUAUGAAGUGAGAAGCAAUGUGGGGUGGGUUUAUAAAGAAGAGAAGGCGAGCAAAAGUCCACGUAGAAUUUGGCGGGUUCUGAAGAACCGCUGGUUUUGACUGCUGGGGAGAAAAAUCAAUGUGUGAUGCCCACAGAGAUGCCGUUUAAGAAACUUCUGUUCCAUUUAUCUUUCUUUGGAUUGGAUAUUCCCGUGUUUGCAAGAAAAUAUCCUUUUGCGUGACAGUUCUAUUGUGUGACUACUCACACAUUAAUUAUAAAUGCUCAGUUAGUUGGGAACGCCUAAGUUACAAUCAAUGUACCUUACGUUCUUUGUCUUUUUCUUUUUGGCAAAUAUCAUAUGAGCCCUCCUAAUUCUUUUUAUUUUCAAUUUUUACAGCUGUGGAUGUAUUUGUCUUCUUCCAUCCCUCCUAUCGAUUUUUUUAUUUUCUCUAAAGUUUUAUUUAUUUCUUUAAACAUUAUUAAAUGAUUAUCAAAUUCAUACAAAUCUAUAAAUUCAGAAUAAACUUCUGGUCCUAAAUUUAUUAAUCCUAGUCUUGAAUUGUAGGUUUAUUGCAUGUAAUUUAAUUAUAUAAUUAAAUUAAAGAGAAAUUAUAUAAAAAAUAUAAAAAAUAUACAUGACAGACUUCAAAAUUAACAUGCAAUAGCUUUCAGAAUUACCGUUAAAAUCAUUCCUAAGAAUUAAUUCUGAUUAAAGGGCAUUAUCAACAUAUACUCUGAUUAAUUCUGAUUAAUAGAUACCAUUUGAUAUUUUAAUUUACCAUUUUAAUUCAAUUAAUGUAGUUUCCAUAAAAUUCAAGGGUGCCAAUAGAUAUUUCACUUCUUGAAUGUAUGUUACGUUACACGUAACCUAGGUUUGGCCCAGUUUCAAAACUAACCUCCUGUCUUAACUUGUUGGAGUAUUGAUCAAACGGUGAGCUACUAAUAUCUUAUAUCUUUUAUUAAUCUAUAGUUCCAUCUUAAAACGUUUUAUUAUUAUUUUUUUAUUACAUGAGAUUAAUGUUCAAAAUAUAACUCAUAUUACAUGAGAUUAUAACUGAUAUUUAUAAAUCAGACUAUUACUGAGAUCAACUUACAUCAAUGCUAAUGGAGCUCCGUCCAGAUUUUAACCCUCACAAAUAUUCGAGGGAUGUCUACUCCUCACUCUUGGGUAAGAAAAUAGACUAUCUCCACUCAAUUUUUAAUUGAAGAAUGAAAUACCCCCACAAUACAUUUGUGGGGGUUCGAACUACUGCCCUCCAAGUUAGAGGGCAGCAGCCCUGACCACUCGGCCCAAGGCUGAGUGGCUUAAAACGUUUUAUUAUUUGAAUUAAACAACAAUUAAAAAAGUAUUAAAUUCAUUUUUUUAGUAAUAUUGAGGACACCAGCUCGAAUUAUUUUCAUUAGAUUGUUAACUAAUACUUGGUCUUAAUUAUAACAAUCAAAGGAUCUAAUAAGUUGAAAAAUAAUAACAAAAGUACGGUGAUAUGGUAUGAGCAAAACCAUACCGUAGAUUUUCCAUUUUGUUCAUUAGCAAGACGGCACGUGUUCCCACUUGAGGAGUUGGCCACGGACACGUAACGUUCACGUGGCCUAAUAGCUGCUUUGCGGAAAAGUCCCAUCAUUCUCAAUUAUUGAGUAAUUGAGAUUUUGGCCCACGGCCUUCUGGUGUCUGGAUGUGGAUCAUUCGUUUGAAUUUCUUGGCCCUUCAAUUAUUUGAAUCAAAUAUUCGGGAUUAAAAUUAUAUACCUAACCAAACUUUUAUUUAUUUAUUUUUUAAUUUGUUAUAUAAUUUAAGGAUAUAUUGCAAUAUCGGUCUAUAGGAAAUAUAAAUACAUAUGAAGGCUCAGAUUUAACUUCUAUUCAAUUUUUUUUUCUCGGGUUUCGACAAAAAUAAGAAAAAAUAAUUGUCGUCCUUAAUAUUAUUGAAGGUAUGAAUCCACUAUUACACUUUGGACAAAAAGUCUUAUAACUAUACUUAACCAAAUUUAUUGUGUAAAAAUCAAUUUAAUCUGUGAAGUGAAAAAUAUCAUUUUAAUUAUACAGUCCAAAUACAUAAAUCAAAAUUCCUAUCUUGACAAAAAUGUGAUGGCGACAAAAGUAAAGGGAAGUUCAAAGCCAAAUUGCAAAAAUAUCUCAAGAUUGCUUUUGAGGAUAUUUUUUGAAGGUAAUGGGGUUGUCGAUAUUUUGAGAUCUUAAAAGAUAUUAUAAUGUAUAUGACAAAAAUCACAUUUUAAAAAGUAGGAAUUAAUAUCCACAAUUUAGAAAACGUUAUUAUAUGUUUUUUUGUACACUCGUGCUUCACAUUUUAUUUGUUGGUGAGAAACAACUCAAGAUUUGGGGUUAACAUGGAGAAAGUUUGAUAAUGUGUUUGCUUUUUAUGAGGUAAAAGUUGACGUUUGUUGUAAAAAAUACAAGCAAAGGAAUGCUUUUUGUUUAAUUUCAUGGGAAGUGGAAUAUUAAGAUGAUUAAGAUUAAGUGUGACUUAAUAAUUCCUAGAUCCGAUAAUCAAAUGCACAAAACUGACUUGAUGCUGUAAACGAUUAUCACAGCCACCUUUAUUGAAAUCCAAUCACCAAUCUUAAUAGAAAUUCUCAAUUGCAUAUUUGCAAAACCCAAACCAGCCACAAAUUAACCAAACUAAGAACAACAUUUCACAAUUUAUGCACAUAAAAUCCAACCAUGAUGGAGAUGGACCCAACUAUACUCAUUGGGUUUUUUUUUUUUUUUUAAUAUUACGUUCAAAUUUUAUUAACAUUUUAAUUAGAAAUUUACUGGAAUCAGUAUUGAUCAAUACAAUGUCAAGAAGUACAACUAAAAAAUCUGCUUUGAAAUUUAGCCCAUUUUGCUUUUUAUUGUUCUAAUUCUUAUGUUCGAACUUCGAAUAGAGAAAUUUUCUCAUUUUAAAUAUUGUCUUGUUAUCUUUGAGAUUUUAUUUUGCAAAUAAUACAAAAACAAGGACCAGCAACACAAAGCAAAAAGCAGAAGUAGCUAGAGGUUCAAUUGAUAAAUUACAUUAAUAUUUGUUCGAUCAAGGGCUAAAACAGGUCAACAAGCAUGGAAACUGAAGCUUCAAAAUAGAGCACACAAGUGAAUGAGCCCUUAUUAUUUCUCCAAAUUAUUAAUAAUAUUGAACAACAAUAGUUCUUAAUAGUUAGAGUUACUUAAAAAUACUUUGACUCAGUGUAGGGACCUCUCAUGCAUUAAUUACAAAAUUAUCUAUCUCGUUAUGAACGAAAAUAACACAAUUUAAUAUUAUAUUUAUCCAUAAUAUAUUAUCAUAUAAAAUGUAAUAAAAUUAGACUCAUUAUUAUAAUAUUUAAUUAUAUAAUAAAAGAGUCUAUAAAAAAAAAUUAUACUGGUCAAAUACAUAAUAAUUAGAGUGAUUUAUCUCGUGUUAUGGUUUUAACUCUUAAACCGCACCAUUUGUUUUUUUGUCGCAAGCCUAUGAUCAUGAAUUUUUCCCACGGGUGCACGUCGACAAAUGUUUUCUUGUUUGGGGGCACUAACGUAAAAAUAAGCAUUAAUAUUGGGACUUAUUAUUUAUAAAGAUGGAAUGUUUAUAUGUAUAUGUUAUAAAGAUGGAAUAUUUAUAGGUUACGUCUAUAAAAUAAAAUAAGCAUUAAUGUAUCUGCUGCCCACGUCACCAACUGACUUAACAGAUUUUGGCGCCAUUUUCGAACUUUGUUUCUCGAAAUAUACAGAGAGAGAGAGAGAGGAACAUAUAGGAGUUCGAGUACAUCAAAUUAUGGGGUCUUGCUUGUGCGACAGGUCAGUUGCUUGAUUGCAAAAGCUUCUGCGUGCCUUUCGAGUAAGAUUCACAAUAUGGCAUAAUGGAUUUGUAUUAAUCAUGCGUGGCUUUACGUAAAGACAAAUAAGACGGUCGUCUAAGAUUUUAAAUUUUAAAAAUAUUUAAUUUUUUUAAUAUUAUUAAUAAUUCUUUAAUUAAUAAAGAUUUUUUAAAAAAAAUUGUGUGGUAAAAAAGUUUAAUAGACAUAUCUCUAAUUAAUAAUUAUCAUAUAAUUAGUUAUUAUUAUUUUUAUAUAAAAAUAUAUAAUUGGUUAUCUUAUUGUUAAAGAGAUAUAAUUAAUAAUAUUUUCUAACCAUUAAUUUAUUCAUUAUUAGUUUUUCCAAUAAAAAUAAGUAAAAUUUUUACAUUUUCAACUUCUUAAAAAAGCUCAAUUAUUCAACAUUAGAAUAUUUAACUCUUAGUAUUCCUUUUAGUUUCUAUUAAAAAAUUUAUAAUCUAGAAAAUCAUUGAUGAAAAAUUUCUUGUUCUCUUCUCUACAAUGAAGAUUAUUACAUGCAUUAGUUCAUUAAAAAAAAAAAAUUACUUGAAAUACAAAGUUCAUAUUCAUUAUCUAACCAUCAAUUCAUGAUCUCAACUUUCUAUGUGCUACCAUUCUAAAUAUUAUAUUUGAAAAUAUUAUUGUUCUCAUUUAUUCGUUUGUUUAUUUUUGUAUAAUUUCUAAUGGUAAAUUUUAGAUUUUGUUUUUGAAAAUUUUUAGAAUCUUCUUAAUUAUUUGUUGAAAUUCAAGAACUAAAAUUGAAAUAGAUUUUCAACUCUUUUUUGUUUUAUUGAGUAUUGAAGUUGUUUUAUUCAACUCUUAUAUUUUUUGUUUUCUCGUCAAUUUUGGAUUUUUUUUCUUAUUAAAAUAAUAGUAUGAAGUAGGAAUCUUCUCGAAACUGUAUGUAUUAUAUCAUAUUCCCAAAAAGAUUGGAAUACAUCUAACUCCAUAACAUUCUAAAGCUUUGAUACGUAAUUGCAUGAUACAAAUGUUGCUAAUCCGAAAGGGCCCCCAAUCUUUUUCCCAAAUACCAAAAAAAACCCCUAAAAUGAAUCCUCCCUUUUAACGUUUAACGAACUUUGGCGAUCUCGCGCGAAAAUCCCUCCAACGUGGCGACUCACCAUUAGCUAAUCUACGUCUCUGAUUAAAAUCCUAUUCUGAUUUUGAAUUCUUGCAAGAUUUUGAAGAAUUUUUGCAAUUGUGCAUUACUUAUUGGUAUUGUUUGAUUAGAAUUUAAUUUAGUUCAGGAGUCCUGUUCCUUUUUGAAAGCCGCAUGCCUGCAUCAGUAGAAGCAACGUGUUUCAUCAUCAUUGGUUCGAACACUAUAGCAAAGAACAAGGAUACAAACACUAUAAAUAGCCCGCCCCUUCAAGCUCUUUUCGCUCCACUUGAAAACAGAGAAAGCAGAGGAAACGCUUCACGAAAGCAACGAAAAACAAACACAGAGAGAAAGCAAGCACAAAAGCAAAACAAUGAAGAUGAAGAACAAAGCAUUAGCGAUCUUGCUCCUCUUUGCUUUACGUAAGUGCUUUCUUCUUUCUCUUUUGCUAAAGAAACCUUAAUUACCCUAUUUCGUUUUGUUUAUGCUCUGUUUUCUUUUGGCUGAUUUUUGUUAAAACCUGUUUUUUUUUUUAAAUCUUUUUCCUAUUAGAAUUCUCGUUGGGUUUAGCAGCAGCGGAUGAUACUACAACGAAGCUAGGGACGGUGAUUGGCAUUGAUCUGGGGACUACGUAUUCUUGCGUGGGUGUUUACAGAAACGAUCACGUAGAGAUUAUAGCGAACGACCAAGGCAACAGAAUCACCCCAUCAUGGGUUGCAUUCACUGAUACUGAACGUCUGAUCGGAGAAGCCGCAAAAAAUCAAGCGGCCCUCAACCCAGAGCGUACAAUCUUUGAUGUUAAGCGGCUCAUCGGAAGAAAGUAAGCAGUGAUUCUAUCUGUUUUUGUUUAUGGUAGUUUAUAUGUUUGGUGUGUGUUUGGAAGUGAUUUUGUGAUCGUGUUGUAAUAGAGUUAAAGCUUUUUUUUAAGUACUUUUCUAGAAAAGCGCUUUUAAACUCCCUUGUAUGCUUUUGAUGCUGUAGGUUUGAUGAUCCUGAGGUGCAAAGAGAUAUAAAGUUCUUGCCUUAUAAGGUUGUGAACAAAGAUGGCAAGCCUUAUAUUCAAGUGAAAGUGAAAGGAGAGACCAAGGUCUUUAGCCCUGAGGAGAUCAGUGCAAUGGUGCUUCAAAAGAUGAAGGAGACAGCCGAGGCAUUCUUGGGGAAGAAAAUUAAAGAUGCUGUCGUUACCGUUCCAGGUAUGUACACAUGUAUGAGGAUUUAACAUUCUUGUUCUGUUCCCUUUGCAUAUCUUUUAUAGUCUAAUGGGUGUUUUUUCUGUUGUUAAUUUUAGCUUAUUUCAAUGACGCGCAAAGGCAGGCAACGAAGGAUGCAGGGGUCAUAGCCGGGCUCAAUGUGGCUCGGAUAAUCAAUGAACCUACAGCCGCGGCUAUUGCCUAUGGUCUAGACAAGAAAGAGGGAGAGAAGAAUAUUUUGGUCUAUGAUCUUGGUGGUGGUACAUUUGACGUUAGUAUCUUGAAUAUUGACGAUGGUGUGUUUGAGGUUCGUGCCACACGCGGAGACACUCACUUGGGAGGAGAGGACUUCGAUCACAGAGUCAUGGACUAUUUCAUUAAGUUAAUUAAGAAAAAGUACAGCACAGAUAUAAGCAAUGAUAACAAGGCUCUUGGGAAGCUUCGAAGGGAAUGUGAGAGGACCAAGAGAGCUCUGAGCAGCCAGCAUCAAGUCAGAGUGGAGAUUGAGUCACUCUUUGACGGUGUUGAUUUCUCGGAGCCAUUGACAAGAGCAAGAUUCGAAGAGUUGAACUUGGACCUGUUCAAGAAGACAAUGGGGCCUGUGAAGAAGGCAUUGGAAGAUGCCCGGUUGAAGAAAACAGACAUUGAUGAGAUUGUACUUGUCGGAGGAAGUACUCGAAUCCCCAAGGUUCAGCAAUUGUUGAAGGACUUGUUUGAUGGGAAGGAGCCUAACAAGGGCGUCAAUCCAGAUGAAGCUGUUGCAUAUGGCGCAACAGUUCAAGGUGGGAUUCUUAGCGGCGAAGGGGGUAAAGGUAAAGGAUCCACUAUUUUUUUUUUUUUUAAUCUUCUCUUUUAUCAGGAUGCAAUUGAUUAAUUAGAAUAGCUAAGUAUACAAAGCUUUUUGUUUGCUGCAGACCUUCUAUUGCUGGAUGUGACUUCCUUGAGUCUUGGUAUUGAAACAGUGGGUGGUGUUAUGACCACGCUAAUUCCCCGGAACACUGGUAUCCCCACUAAGAAAUCUCAGGUUUUUUCCACUUACCAAGACCAGCAAAGCACAGUGACUAUUAAGGUAUAACAAGUGAUGUGCAUGAUUACAUACGUAGCUAAACUGAUGCUGCACAAUCAUUCUAUCUACUUGUGGACUAACGUGCACUUGAAAAUUAAAAUUAAAAAUAAAAUUCAGGUUUACGAAGGUGAAAGAAGCUUGACAAAGGAUUGUCACGAGCUUGGACGAUUCGAUCUAUCUGGCAUUCCACCUGCUCCAAGGUAAAUUACAUUUCAACAUAUGUAUUUGAUUUGUUGAAGAUUGUUCUGGAUACUUAAGCUGUUCUGAUUGUUGUUACAGGGGAGUUCCUCAAAUUCAGGUCACAUUUGAUGUUGAUGCCAAUGGCAUCCUACAUGUGACAGCUGAAGACAAGGCGGCGAAGAACAAACAAUCCAUCACCAUAACCAAUGACAAGGGGCGUUUCAGCGAGGAAGAGAUUCAAAGGAUGGUGAAGGAGGCUGAGGAAUACGCGGAGAAGGAUAAGAAUGCGAGGGAGAGGAUUGAUUCCAGGAACAAGUUGGAAAGUUACAUCUACAACAUGAGGAGCACCAUCAACGACAAUGAUAAUAAUAAGCUCGCUAACAAGAUCGAUUCUGAUGAUAAGGAGAAGAUCGAGAGCACACUGAUGGAAGCUCUUGAAUGGCUGGAUGACAAUCAGAAUGCCGGGAAGGAUGAUUUUGAUGAGAAGCUGAAGGAGGUGGAAGCUGUAUGCAAUCCCGUGAUCAAAGAGUUUUAUGAGAAGAGUGGGGGAAGUUCAUCAGCUGCUGAUUACUCAGAAGAUGAAGAACCAGAUGAUGAGUUGUAAAAAGAUUGAGAAUUCAAUUUUCUUUUGCUGCCAAUUUUUUUUUUUUUUUUUGGGUUUAUUUUUCAGUGUUGUCAACUAAUUUCCCAAAGAGACCACAAAUUUUGUUCUAAUUGUUACCAUCUAUUUUUCUUAAAUAUUAUUUAAUUUUUUAAAUCUAUUUGUGAGUGUAUUGGUUUCUUAUAUUUACAGUCACAUUACAACAUUGAACUAAAAUCUUAGUAGGAAUGCUGAUGCCUUUACAAAGAAACAAGAAACAGAAGCAAAAUUAAAUAAGCAAAAGCAGAAGUCGAUAGGACUAGCUAAUAAAUUACAGUGACUAAUGUUUAAUCUUCAGGCGCUAAAGAAGUCAAUAAGCAUGGAAACUGAAGCUUCAAAGUAAGGCAACACAAGUGAACGAGACCUCAUUUCUCGUAUAAAAGCAGAGACUUUCCCAACGUUAGGAAAGUUAUUGCUGUGUUCUUUAGCUUCAACGGCCUGGCUGAUGCUGCUGCUGCUGCUUGAUUUAACAGCAUUAAUAAUAUUGUCAUGACUGGAGCCAUUAUCAUUUCCCCAAAUGGUUUGACCCUUUUCCCGCAGCUUGGCUAACUCACCUGUCCAUAUAUCCACAAGUGCAGACAUUAUUGUUGCUGACUAAAUUUUGAAGAAGAUAUUUGGAAUCUAAGAUGUUUUGAGAUAUCAAGAUUUUGAUGGCUGAUGGGGGGGGUAUAUUAAGGAUCGAUCAGUGAUGGUUUUGUUUGAUUUUCAACGGCGUACACAUUAAAAUUUUGUUGUAUCUCUGUGGGCUAUAAGAUAAAGAUAAAUUAAAUAAUAUCAUUUUCAGUGGGUGGGUCCCUUUCUCUCUGUGAUAUGGCUCAAUACCGCUGCAAAGAUGGUGGUAUGCUUAGGCAAAGAAUGACGUCAGCCAAGACAAUUUGAAAGAACCCAACUCAAGGUACUGUUUUGUAAGGCUACCUUCUGGUAAUGAGAAACUGGUUGACACUAGAUGUGGAGCGACCAUCGGAACAGUGUCUAUCCCCAGCCGUGGAGCUAAGAAGCUUAGCAAGGCUGGUCAGAGCCGUGGGUUGGGUCAAAGACCGCCAUGAAUCCAGUCGAUCAUCCUCAUGGUGGACGUGAGGGGUGAAGCAAAAGUAGCGGUAGCCACGGAGGGUGUUCACUUACACCUUGGGGCAAGCCUUGUAAGUCUGGGUAUAAAACUGCAUCUUCCGAGGAGAAAAAGCAAUUAGCCGUCUGAUAUUGUUACAUUAUUUGUCAUCUUUGACGAUAGUUUUAAACCAUUUUUAACAGUUCAAUAGUGAAACUGAAGUGUAAUUUGGAUUGAACUUUUAUCAAGUUUAGUUUCUUCAAUUAACUAGGAUUCUUUUAGUUGGAAUUUGAAGAUUAAAAGAGAGAAAAUGAAGAAUCGUAGUUCAUCUCAUGUUAUUGAAUCUCACAUUACAGAAAUGAGCUCAACUCAGUAUUUAUAGUGGAGUCUAAAUAGUUCUAAAUACUUGCUGAGCACUCUCUUACAGCUAAGCAAUGUAACUGCAGAAUAACAAACUCUAAUCUAACUAAUUUCAAUACAAUUAACAAGUGCUGAAUUAUUAACUAAUUGCUUCAUAAUCCAGCUGCAUGGGAAUCUCUUCAUAACAGUUUUGCCAUUUGGAACUUUCCAACUUCUCACGUGCACCUUUCACUUUCAUUCCCAGAUUAGCUACUGAAUUUAUAGUUGGCUUAAUUCCAACUGGCACUCCAACGUGUGUUGAGUUGGUUCAGCUUCAUCAGCUAAUUUAACACCCCUUCUCAAACUUAAGUCUUUUGGAAAGACUUUAAGUUUGCUUCUGAAGAAGCUGAACUUAGGAUAUGUAAGAGGUUUAGUUAAUAUGUCAGCAACUUGGUCAUUGGUAGACACAAAAGCAAUUUCAACUUCUUUCCUCUCAACUUUGUCUCUCACAAAAUGAAUAUCUAUUUCAAUGUGUUUGGUCUUAGAAUGCAUUUAUGGAUUUGUAGUUAUAGCAGCUGCAUUUGUGCUAUCACUUAGCGGCAGUGGAGUACUCUAAAGUUUAAUGUUCAGUUCCUUAAGAAUUGAGUAUAUCCAUGUUAAUUCUGAACAAGCCAACGCCAUUGCUCUGUAUUUUGACUCUACUGAUGAUUUGGAAAUUAUGCUCUACUUCUUUGAACUCCAGCUGAUUAAAUUUUCACCCAAGUAUACACAGUAGUCACUAGUUGACCUUCUGUCAUUAAUAUCACUACCCCAAUCUACAUCAGUGUAUAUUACAAGAUCCAGAAAAUCAGAGCUCCUGAAAGUUAAGCCAUAGUCUAUAGUUUCCUUGAGAUACCUCAGUACUCGUUCGCAGGCAAGCCAGUGAGGUUGUAAAGGAUUAGCCAUGAAUUGACUUAACUUAUUCACUGCAUAUGCAAUUUCAGGCCUUGUUAAUACUGCAUACUGUAAUCCUCCAAUUGCUUUCCUGUAUUGAGUUGCAUCAGUAAAAUCUUCACCCAUGUUUUUGCUAAGCUUUUCUGUUGUGGCUGGAGGAGUAUCAGUUCAAUUACACUCUUUCAAAUCAAACUUGGCAAGAAGAUAUUUUAUAUACUUUGACUAAGACAACAUCAAAGUAUCAUCAUUUCUAAUAACUUCAAUACCAAGAAAGAAAUUGAGAUUCCCCAAGUCUUUAAGAGUAAAAGUACUGCUGAGGUUGCUGAUAAGUUGUUCUAUUUCAGCAUUACUAUUCCCAGUCACGAUUAUAUCAUCAACAUAAAUCAACAAUAUAAUCAUAUCACUCCCACUUCUUUUAAAAAAUAAAGAUGUGUCUGAUAUGGUUCUAGUGAAUUGUCAAGACUUAAGAAUUGACAUGAGCUUAUCAAAUCAUACUCUUGGUGCCUGCUUCAAUCCAUAGAGGGCCUUUUUCAGCUUACACACAUAAUUUGGAUGCUCUGAGUUCUCAAAGCCUUCUGGCUGAGGCAUGUAAACAGUUUCACUAAGCUCCCCAUUAAGAAAUGCAUUAUUGAUAUCUACUUGUCUCAGCUUCCAGUUGUUUAUGACAGCAAGACUUAGUAUAAUUCUUAUGGUUGAUGCUUUAACAACAGGACUGAAGGUUUCUUGAUAAUCAACCCUUUCUGUUUAUAAAACCCUUUAGCUACCAAACGAGCUUUGUAUUUGUUGAUUGAUCCAUCUGAGUUUUGUUUCACCCGAUAAAUCCAUUUGUUCCCACUAGCUUCAUGUUUUGUUCUGGAGGAACUAAACACCAAGUCUGAUUUCUCAUUAAGGCAUUGAACUCUUCCUGCAUUGCUUGUUUCCAUUUAUGAUUAUUCAAAGCUUCAGCUACACUUGAAGAUGUGUCAAGGGACAUGGACUUUUCAGUGUUGUAUAGUUUUGGUUUGAAUAUGCCAUUUUUGGCUCUAGUUAUCAUAGGAUGUGAAUGUCUGGGUUGAUAUAUAGGCUGAGAUGUUUCUGAUAUUUGAGUGUUUGGUUCAGAAUGAUUUGAAAAUGAGGUUUGGGGAGAUUCAUGUGUACUGAUUACAUUAUCAGGCAUUGAAUUUAUUUGAUCAAAGUUGUUGUCAAGGUUAUGUUCAUUAGAAGGAUCAUAUGAGUUAGUUGUGUCUUCUAAUGAAUUUGUACUUGCUGAUGUUGCCUCAUGAUUUUGGGUUUCAGAAGGAAAUGAUAUAGACAUAAACUUACAGAAUGUGUUUGCAGGUUCUGAUGUAUGAGUGGACUUUGAAACCAUGAAGUUUGGAUCAUUUUGGAAAGGGAAAAAAUUUUCAUUGAAGUUAACAUGUGCAGCAAUAUAAAUUCUGCCAUUUGGAUUCAAACACAUAUAACCCUUGUGCAAGUUACUCAAACCUAAAUGGACACAUUUUGAGGUAUGAAAAUCAAGCUUAUGACUAUUGUAUGGUCUCAAGAAAGGGUAGUACUCACAACCAAAGAUUUUGAUUUGAGAGUAACUUGGUUUCUUGGAAUAAAGGGCCUCAAAAGGUGUUUUGUGAUUCAAUAUAAGUGUACUGAUUCGGUUGAUAAGAUAGGUUGCAUUAUAGAAUGCUUCCCACUAAAACUUAAGAGGUAUAUCAGCUUGAGUAAGGAGUGUCAGUCCAGUUUCAACAAGGUGUCUAUAUUUUCUCUCAACCUUCCUAUUUUGAUGAUGUGUAUAAGGGCAGGAAUAUCUUAUAGCUAUCCCUUCAUUUCUGAGAUAAAGUUCAAAGGCUCUGUAUUCACCCCUCAUAUCACACUGAAUUGUUUUGAUUUUCAGCUCUAAGCUUUUCUCAAUUUGGUUUUUAAAGGUAAUGAAAGCUGACAGUGCUCGAGACUUAUGAGUUAACCCAUAAAUCCAAGUGUAAUUUGUUUUGUCAUCAAUAAAAGCUAUGUAGUAUUUGAACCCCUGAUUUGAGACUGUUGGUACAGGACCCCAAAGAUCACUAUGAAUAAUCUCAAGGGCAGUAGAUGAUUUUGAUUCACUAUUUUUAAAGGAUAAUCCAUGCAUCUUUCCAUAUUGACAAGCUUUGCAAAAAGACAACUAAGAGAUUUUAUUACCAAAUGCGAUAUUACAAGCUGACAAGGUUUUUCUAUCAGAAGCAUUUGGAUGAUCUAAUCUCAUAUGCCAAAGAUCAAGAGUUUUGUUGAUUCUUUGAUAUUUACAGCUUGUACAAUGUUCUUUAGAAACAACUGACAUCAUAGACUCUGGUUUAUUUAUCUUACAAACGGAAAGUAGAUUUGAAUAUGAAACUGAAGACAACAAAAUAGACUUGACUUGAGAGUGAUUUAGAGGCAAGUUCAGCAGCUUGUACAGUCCAUCUUUAGCCACACCUUUUAUGAGAACAAUCCACAUUCUCUUGUCCUUAACAACACAAUAUGUUUUGUUAAAUUCAAUACAUCUAUUGUUAUCAUUUAAUAGUUUUGAUAUGUUGAUUAGAUUUUUGGUUAUUUGUGGUACAUAGAGAAUGUGGUUGAGUUUAAUGUAUUUCUGGAUAUCAGGUUCAAGUGUGCCAAGCAAUGUUUAACCAACAGAAACAAUUUCAAGCUUAGAACCAUUACAUACUGCAAGGUGAUGGUUCCCUUUGUAUUAUGAGCUUAUGCUUAAGUUGUUGAGAUCAUUAGUGACAUGAUCUGUUGCUCUGCUGUCGAGAUACCAGCCUCCACUUUUGGUUUCUGCACCUUCAGCCACAUAAGCACUCCUUUUAUUUCCUGCAAAAUUAGGCAUAUAGUUUUUCUUAAACCUAUACCAGCAGUUUACAGCAAUAUGAUUCUUCCUGAAGCAUAUCUGACAAGGUCCUUUAGGUGCUUCUUCAUCAGUUGAAGCUUUUCCUUUCAUUUUCUCCUGAAUUGGAUUAAAGUUGCCACCACCAGAAUUAUUUCCAAAUUGUCUUCCACUCUGAUUAGCAACAUUUCCAGUGUUGUUGAAAUUUGAUUGCCAAUUUCUCCUCUGGUUUCCUCUGUAAUAAGCAAUAUUUGCCUGAUAGUCUAUGCUACUAACAGAGUUUUGAUAUUCAAUUCUAUUUUCUUGGCUUAACAACAUGCCAUAAACCUCUGAUGGAGUUAUGCUUUCCGAUUUGGCAUUGAUUGUAGCAACAAUCAAGUCAUACUCAGGUCCAAAACCAGCAAGUAAACACAAUACAAAGUCAUCAUUACUCAUAUGAUUACCAGCAGCUCUAAGAGAAUCCAGAUUCAUUUUCAUCUUAGUAUAAUAUUCAUGAACACUCAUUGAUCUCUUUCUAGUUGUCUGGAUCUGAAUCCUUAAGUGAAGAACUUUAGAACGAGACCUAAUACCAAACUGUCUAGAAAGUGUUUGCCAUACCUCUAGAGAUGAGCUUGCUCCAACAACAGCACUUAGCACUUCUUCACUCAGAGUUGAAAGUGGCUAGCUCAUGAGUUGUUGAUCAACUUUCCUCUAGAUCUGAAAUUGUGGAUUUGGCACAGUGACCACAGUUUGAUUGCUAUCAACAUUGACAAUCAUUCGACUUGGAGGAUUCUUGGUGUUGUCGAUUAGAUCUUCAAGCUCGUUUGCAUUGAUUGUGGCAAUAACUUGAGAUUGCCAUAGCAGAUAAUUGUUGUUUGUGAGCUUGAUCCGGGUAUUGAAAACUAGAGAAUUAACUGAUGAGUUGUUGAUUGAGUUUGUGAUUGGAUUUGCAGUUGAGCUUGAAGCUCGAGUGCUUGUGGCUUGAAAUUCAUUGCUAGCCAUUAUAACAACUCGCUCUGAUACUAAGUUGGAAUUUGAAGAUUAAAAUAGAGAAAAUGGAGAAUCGUAGUUCAUCUCAUGUUAUUGAAUCUCACACUACAGAAAUGAGCUCAGCUCAGUAUUUAUAGUGGAAUCUAGAUAGUUCUAAAUACUUGUUGAGCACUCUGUUACAGCUAAGCAAUGUAACUGCAGAAUAACAAACUCUAAUCUAACUAAUUUCAAUACAAUUAACAAGUGCUGAAUUAUUAACCAAUUGCUUCAUAAUCCAGUUGCAUGGGAAUCUCUUCAUAACAGUUUUGCCAUCUGAAACUUUCCAACUUCUCACGUGCACCUUUCACUUUCAUUCCCAGAUUAUCUACUGAAUUUACAGUUGGCUUGAUUCCAGCUGGUACUCCAACGUGUGUUGAGUUUGGUUCAGCUUCAUCAGCUAAUUUAACACUUUUAUGGUGUCAAACUAAUUUCACUCAUGUCAUUUAAAUUUAAGAUGUUGAAUUCAGUAUUCUGAUGCUUGCAACUUGUAAAAGGGAAAGAGAGAUGGUACGAAUUGAUUUUGUUUUAUUGGUGUCUUUUUUAUUCGUUCAAUUUGAUUUGCUGUGAUUUCUGUUACUCUCCACAUGUCACAUGAAAGAUCAAAACCUUCCGUGUGAUUUUUAUUGACCUGCAUCAAAAUAACUUUAAACCACCAUAACGUUUUUAUAAUAGCAGUAUGAGAUCUCCUUGAAGGAUUCAAAGUAUUUUAUUUGAUAGUAUUGGCUUGCAUUAAAUAGUUAUUCCCAUUUUAAGUAGCCAAAAAAUAUCAUAAUUAAGUUUCAUUGGUCUUGAUGAGUUUGGCGUUGUUUGGAAAUGUUUUUUAACACUACAAAAUUUACAAAUAAUCUGUUUGCUAAUAGGAAAUUGGAACAACAUUCAGAAUAAAUUGUUUACUUUACAUGUAAUAAUCGAAAUUAGAAUGAAUUGUAUUGCCAUUAAUGUAUUUAAUUUAUCUUAUUUUUUUUUAGAAUGAAUUGUUUUAAGUAAAUAAAAUGCCCCUUAAUUCUUCAAAAUACUGAAUUGGCUACAUUUUAUAAUGAUUAUUAUUUUUUUAGGAAAAUUAUUGAUAAUAAUAAUAAUAGUUAGUUUCUCUAUUUUCUUUUUCUUAUUAUUACUAUUUUCUUUCUCUUUUGUCCUUUUUUUUUCUCAUCCUCUUCUCUUAAUUCUUCGUUACUUCUUCUUCUCUUCUUUCUUUCAUUUUUAUAUUUUAUUUUUCUCUUCUUUAUCGUUUAUUCUUCUUCUCCUUCUAUUCUUCAUCUUUAAACUCUUUUUUUUCUUUUUCGCUUAUCCUUCUUCGUCUUCUUCCUCUUUGUUUCGUCUUUUUUUUUUUACUUUUGUUUUUUUUCGUCUUCUUUAUCGUUUCUUCUUCUUCUUCAUCUAUCCUUAAUCUUCAAAUCUUCCAACGUGUUGUGCAAUGAGAUCUAGAUUUUGGUUGCUGUAGUUUUCAAUUAUUUUUUGUAUUUUUUCUUUUUUAUUAUUUAAGAGGAUAUAGUUGUAAUAAUGCAAUUUAAGUUAGGGUAUUUCAGGGAGUUCUGGGAAUGGGAGUAUGAUUCCCAAUCCCCUGAGAAUCAGACUCCCAUUACUAAUUCCUAACUUGGUGCAGAGUCCACCAAAAUGAAUCGCAUUCCUUUCCUUAUUUCAGCAAGUAAACAUGAGUUUAAUUUUGGUCCUUAUUCCAAUUCUAAACAUGAGUUUAAUUUUGGUCCUUAUUCCAAUUAUCCGAUCUAAGAAGUAAACACAUCAUAAAAGUACCAUUAAGUACAAUAACAUUUUUGUGUUAUCGGCUUAGUGAAAUGGAUGAAAAUACUUUUAGGCAUGGCAAAAUUUCUUACGACUUAGUGCCUAUUUGGUAUGCCUUAUUUAAUGACCAUAAGUGCUUAUUUAAUCCUAUAAACUCUUAUAAAAAAUUUUGUUGUUGUUUAGUUAUUUUUCUAAUAGGGCUUAAAUAAGCUAUUUUGCCUCUGCUAACAAAAGCUCAAAUUUUGAAUUUUUGGGAGUAGAGGUUGAAAAGUUUUCUUUUAAAUAUUAAAAUAUCUAAAAUACCUUCUACUUAACAAUCUUAUUUUAUUGUUUUCAUAACAUAAUUUUAAAAAUCUAUUAAAGUAAUUUCAUGAAUUUUUAAUAAAAACUCUUAUUGACAACCAAACAACUAAAAUUUUAUUGGUAAAAAUUCUACUAAUAAAAGUUGUACUUAAAUAAGUUAUAUUUGAAAAGCUGUACCAAACGAAACCUUAGUCGGAUUGAUUUUUAUUUAGUCGGGUUAGUAAUGAGUCAACUCACUAAACCACAUUUUAUAAAGGGUGGUUAGAUUUGGGUUUACAUAUCAAAAUCUAUUUCACCCAAUUCAUUAACACUUAGGGCCCAUUUGGGAUUGCUUUUGAGAGGUUGAAAAUUAAUUUCGGAAAAUUAAGAGUUAAUUUUGGUAAUUGGUAAAAUUUUUAAAAACUCACUUUAGGCAAAAUGAACCAUCUUACAUUAGAUUUUGGAAAACAAAGAAGAAGUAAUUUUUCAAAAUAUGAUUUUAAGCAUUAAUUUUAUACUUAAUUCAAUUCCAUAUAUAUACUCAUAUAUAUUGUAAAAAUCUAAAAUAAACGUUAUUCAAUUAGGAAAUAAAAUUAUUAAAUUUAAAGGGAGUUUUACAAUUACCAAUUACACUGAGAUAUUAAAAAGAAAUUAUUUUAGUUAUCAAUUAUUACAUAUACACAAUAAAAAAAUUAUAUAUACAUGUUUAUAAAUGUAUAAAUUAUAUAUACAUGUUUAUAAAUGUAUAAAUAAGUAUGUCUACUCAAAAGUAAGAUCUAUUAAUUAAACACAUACAAUUGUUUUUAAAAUUUACAGCACUUUUAGAAAUAAAUUUUACUAAAAGUUUAAUUAAUUCUCUUCACAAUGCGAAUCAAAAUAGCCAAAUAGCCACCUUAUGCUAUUUUUCUUAACAAAUAUAAGUCCGAACAUGCCCACUAACCCAUCAAAAUAAUAAGAUCUGCCAUUAAGCCAUCUAAAUAAGGGGAGAUUGUCUUUGGCUAUUAAUAUAUCAAAAUAAUUAUGAAUGUUGAGAUUUUUCCCACCUGGGGUCGAACUAAGUGCAAUAGAUGGAGGUAACCUGCAUACACGGUAACAAAGAAGAAAAUGGUGAAAUGGGGUCGGAGGUGGUGGUCUCCGGCGUGCCCACUCCAAUACCUAAGUCAGUAGAGUGCUUUCAGAGUUGAAAUCUGAGUAAUUUUUGUGUGCUUCAGUGAUCAUACAUUUUUUUUGGCAAUUUUCCCUUAAAAAUACCUUAAUGGAGAAGAAAAUGAAGAAUGAUUUUCGGAGUGGGGGGUGAUUCCCCUAUUUUUUGGGGUAUUGUAGGCGUAGUGGCUUUUUAGCCAACUUCUUUAACCAUUUUUGCGGUAUUUCUGUAAUUCUUUCUUGGUGAUAAGCAUCAUCCCAACAUUUUACCCUUGUUGGUUUGCCGGUUUUGACCCAAUCACGGUUUAAAUCAAGGUUUCCAUAUUUCCCAUCUGAAGGGUUCCAGAGUUCCCACUUGACAAAUUUCAUCCUUGUCUUUGAGGGAUCUGAUUUUCCUCCUUGGAGAUUCUUACCCCUUUGAAGUGGUAUCAGUCAUCAAUUACCUUAUCAACAAUGAAGUUGGAAUUUUGCCUAAGAUAUUGCAUGAACUGAUAUCAAAUGUUUUCAAAGAAUUUAGUUUUCCCAAGGAAGUUGGUAACUCCCCCGAAAACCCAUUAUCAGAAAGGUAUCGAUCCUCAAGGUUGAUAAGGUUUCCAAGUGAAGGAGGAAUUUUUCCUGAUAAAGAGGAGAAUCUUAUAUCCAAGUAAGAUAAUGAUUCAAUAUUUUGUAUUUAAUCCAUAAUCUUACUUAAAAAUUUAGUAAAUGAAAGUCUCAAAUCUUCGAGGAGGCUUCCUUUCUGAGAUUUUGGCAAGUAUCCGAAGAUAUCUAUAUUGUACAUGAGAUCAAGAUAUCAAAGGUUGGGUAGUUGAAAAAUCUCUACAAAGAAUUCACCUUGCGAAGAACAUUCACUAAGAGAUAAGUAAAUCAAAGAAGAUAAAUUUGUCAAUGUAGGAGAAACUGCAUAAGAAGUAUCAACAUCAAUAAGGUAAAUUUCGAUCAAGUUGGUUAACUUCUUGGCUAGAUUUGAUAAACCCGACUUUUGGAGUUUGAAGGCAAAAUGAUUAUAUGAGAGAUCAAGGACUCCAAGCUGGAGAGCUUUAGCAACUCUGCUGAUAUUUGACUUGAAAAGAAUGGCCGAGAGAGAUCUAAAGAUGUUAGCUUGGAAAUUUUAAGAUUUGAGAUAGAAUUUCAAAGAAAUUGAAGUGGUUAUUGAAGAGGCUAAUUAUUUAAAGAUGGAGAAGGUGAAAGAGAGUGCUAGUAGAAUUGAUAGGACCAUAGAGGUAACUAUUAGUGAGAUAGAGCAUGAUCACAUGAUAAGUGUCCUAAUCACAUUUGAUGACAUCCCAUGAGCAACAAUCAAUAAUAUUUUCUUCCUCCUGGCUCUAGGAUUCAACCUUAGGAUAAGUGCAAGGAUUUGCAAAAGUAAACUUAUCAAUUAUAAGGCUUUGCUUGAAUUGCAAUAAGGCAGAACUCUCAUCAUUAUGGCACUAUGGGUGUAAAUGAGUAAGGUAAUAACUAAUAAGAUCAAACACUAAAAGCAAAACAAGUGCAUGCAUGCAAUUAAAGCAAGAUGUGAAUAACUCCAUAAUAUUUUUAAUAUAAUAAGUGUUGACGCUAAAAUCUAGUCGCGUCAGUGUGUGGUCUACCAACCAGAUUCUAGUGCCACCAUUUGAUUAUUAUUUUUUUUUGUAUGGAGGGAUGGUUUUUUGCCCUAACUUGGCGACCAUGAAUCCAAGCUUGGCGAGCAUCUACAAACAGGGUGUAUGAUUUUAUCUAAAAAAGAAUGAACCCAAAAAGAAAAAUGUAAGAAGAAACUCUCCUUGUGAAUAUGAAAAAAUAAGGAUAAAGAGGAAUCAAGAUUGAUAAGGAAGGAAGGAAGUUCAAAAUUUAAUCUCCAGAGAUAGUGUAGAGAAAGAGAGAUGGGAUGGAGUUUUUUUCUAAAGUCUCCAACUAUUGGCACUAUUGGGAGUUUUAUAGGGAUCUAACUUCUCUCGUAUGAAUUAUGGCAUUGUGGGCUUUGAGGAUAGAGUUCCACUCUCCCUCUUCCCCUUGGAUUAUGGAAUUAUGGGUUUUAAGGAUGGGGUUCAACACUAAAUUUUCAAAGAGGAUAGGGUGAGUAAAUUUGGCUAGGUGAAUCUCUAGUCUAACCGUCUCAACGCCAAAAUCUUGUUCGUUGAUUUUUCUCUGACUGUGCUAAAUGAUGAGACCAGCACAAUAAGACUUUGAAUAAGCCUUAUUAUGGUCGUCUUAUUUUAUCACCCAAACAAUAUGAUACAAAAGGAUUUGAGGAAUUUUCUUCAAAUUAAGGGCAACCUAAUUUCUUUUUUCCACUAAUGUGAGUUGGUAUAAAUUCAAAAUCUUUUGUUUUCCCUCAAAAAAUUUUACCAACUAAACUAAUUGACAUCCAUAUAUAGUUUGGGUGGGUUAGAAAACGAAUCACACGAGUGAAAGUGUCUUAAACCAAUCUUUUUCAAUAUUAAAAUACAUAUUUCCAAUGUUUUACGAUCGGAGCCAAGUGUGCCUACAUCAGUUAUAUUACAGCAUAAGCCAGUUCUUGAAAAAAAAAAAAUUAUUAUAGUGCAAUUGAAUACGUGUCAAUUUUGAUAAUUUUUUUAAAACAAUAAUAUCGAAUAUGAGUCUUCAUGCAACUCUGUGUAUUGUAUCAUAAUCAUGAAAAGUGGAUACCUAAACCCCACAAAAUUUAAACAUUUGGUACGUUAUUGUUUUUGGAGGAAAUACCCCGAAUCUUUCUCCCACAAUACCAAAAAGAUCCCUAAAACUUAUUUCUCCUUUUUUUUUUGUCCGUACUCUUUUAACAUUUAACGAACUUUAGUGAUCUCGCGGGAAAAUCGCUACAACAUGGCGAACCACAAUCGGUUACUAUGUGUUUGAGUAAAAUCGUAUUCAAAUUUUGAGUAGAUUUGAAAGAACUCAAGUUAAGUGCGUCUUAGGAUUUAAUACAGCAAAGGAAUCCUAGUCCUUGAAAGCUGCGGCCAGCAAGCAAAAGCGACGUGUUUUAUCAUCAUUGGUUACGACACUAUAGCAAAGAACAAGGAUACAAACACUAUAAGUAGCACCCCCCCACUUCAAGCUCUUUUCGCUCCACUUGAAAACAGAGAAAGCAGAGGAAACGCUACACGAAAGUAACGAAAAACAAACACAGAGAGAGAGAGCAAGCGCAAAAGCAAAACAAUGAAGAUGAAGAACAAAGCAUUAGCUAUUUUGCUCCUCUUUGCUUUACGUAAGUGCUUUCUUCUUUCUCUUUUGCUAAAGAAACCUUUAUCACCCUAUUUCGUUUUGUUUAUGCUCUGUUUUCUUUUGGCUGAAUUUUGCUAAAGCUUUUUUUUUUUUCCCGCUUUUUCCUUUUAGAAUUCUCGUUGGGUUUAGCUGCAGCGGAUGAUACUACAACGAAGCUAGGGACAGUGAUUGGCAUUGAUCUGGGGACUACGUAUUCUUGUGUGGGUGUUUACAGAAAUGAUCACGUGGAGAUUAUAGCGAACGACCAAGGCAACAGAAUCACCCCAUCAUGGGUUGCAUUCACUGAUACUGAACGUCUGAUCGGAGAAGCCGCAAAAAAUCAAGCGGCCUUCAACCCAGAGCGUACAAUCUUUGAUGUCAAGCGCCUCAUCGGAAGAAAGUAAGACAGUCACUCUCUCUGUUUUUGUUUAUGAUAGUUUAUAGUUUGGUCUGUUAUUGGAAGUGAUUUUGUGAUCGUGUUGUAAUAGAUUUAAAGCUUUUUUAAGUACUUUUCUAGAAAAGCGCUUUUAAACCCCCUUGCUUGCUUUUGAUGCUGUAGGUUUGAUGAUCCUGAGGUGCAAAGAGAUAUAAAAUUCUUGCCUUAUAAGGUUGUGAACAAAGACGGCAAGCCUUAUAUUCAAGUCAAAGUGAAAGGAGAGACCAAGGUGUUUAGCCCCGAGGAGAUCAGUGCUAUGGUGCUUCAAAAGAUGAAGGAGACAGCUGAGGCAUUCUUGGGGAAGAAAAUCAAAGACGCUGUCGUUACCGUUCCAGGUACAUAUACAUAGUGAAUUUCUGUAUAGAUGAUCUAACAUUCUUGUUCUGUUCCCUUUGCAUAUCUUUUAAUAGUCUAAUGGGUGUUUUUUUUGGUUGUUGAUUUUAGCUUAUUUCAAUGACGCGCAAAGGCAGGCAACGAAGGAUGCAGGGGUCAUAGCCGGGCUCAAUGUGGCUCGGAUAAUCAAUGAGCCCACAGCCGCGGCUAUUGCCUAUGGUCUAGACAAGAAAGAUGGAGAGAAGAACAUUUUGGUCUAUGAUCUUGGUGGUGGUACAUUUGACGUUAGUAUCUUGAAUAUUGACGAUGGUGUGUUUGAGGUUCGUGCCACUCGCGGAGACACUCACUUGGGAGGAGAGGACUUCGAUCACAGAGUCAUGGACUAUUUCAUUAAGUUAAUUAAGAAAAAGUACAGCAGAGAUAUAAGCAAUGAUAACAAGGCUCUUGGGAAGCUUCGAAGGGAAUGUGAGAGGGCCAAGAGAGCUCUGAGCAGCCAGCAUCAAGUCAGAGUGGAGAUUGAGUCACUCUUUGACGGUGUUGAUUUCUCGGAGCCAUUAACAAGAGCAAGAUUCGAAGAGUUGAACUUGGACCUGUUCAAGAAGACAAUGGGGCCUGUGAAGAAGGCAUUGGAAGAUGCCCGGUUGAAGAAAACUGACAUUGAUGAGAUUGUACUUGUCGGAGGAAGUACUCGAAUCCCCAAGGUUCAGCAAUUGUUGAAGGACUUGUUUGAUGGGAAGGAGCCUAACAAGGGCGUCAAUCCAGAUGAAGCUGUUGCAUAUGGCGCAACAGUUCAAGGUGGGAUUCUUAGCGGCGAAGGGGGUAAAGGUAAAGGAUCCACUAUUUUUUUUUUUUUUAAUCUUCUCUUUUAUCAGGAUGCAAUUGAUUAAUUAGAAUAGCUAAGUAUACAAAGCUUUUUGUUUGCUGCAGACCUUCUAUUGCUGGAUGUGACUUCCUUGAGUCUUGGUAUUGAAACUGUGGGUGGUGUUAUGACCACGCUAAUUCCCCGGAACACUGGUAUCCCCACUAAGAAAUCUCAGGUUUUUUCCACUUACCAAGACCAGCAAAGCACAGUGACUAUUAAGGUAUAACAAGUGAUAUGCGUGAUUGCAUACGCGGCUAAACUGAUGCUGCACAUUCAUUCUUUCUACUUUUGAACUAACAUGUACUUGAAAAUUGAAAUUAAAAUUCAGGUGUACGAAGGUGAAAGAAGCUUGACAAAGGAUUGUCACGAGCUUGGACGAUUCGAUCUAUCUGGCAUUCCACCUGCUCCAAGGUAAAUUACAUUUCAAUAUAUGCAUUAGAUUUGUUGAAGAUUGUUCUGGAUACUUAACGUGCUCUAAAUGUCCUACAGGGGAGUUCCUCAAAUUCAGGUCACAUUCGAUGUUGAUGCCAAUGGUAUCCUACAUGUGACAGCUGAAGACAAGGCAGCGAAGAACAAACAAUCCAUCACCAUAACCAAUGACAAGGGGCGUUUCAGCGAGGAAGAGAUUCAAAGGAUGGUGAAGGAGGCUGAGGAAUACGCGGAGGAGGAUAAGAAUGCGAGGGAGAGGAUUGAUUCCAGGAACAAGUUAGAAAGUUAUAUCUACAACAUGAGGAGCACCAUCAACGAGAAAGAUAGUAAUAAGCUGGCUGACAAGAUCGAUUCUGAUGAUAAGGAGAAGAUCGAGAGCACACUGAAGGAAGCUCUUGAAUGGCUGGAUGACAAUCAGAAUGCCGGGAAGGAUGCUUUUGAUGAGAAGCUGAAGGAGGUGGAAGCUGUAUGCAAUCCCGUGAUCAAAGAGGUUUAUGAGAAGAGGGGGGAAAGUUCAUCAGCUGCUGAUUACUCGGAAGAUGAGGAACCAGAUGAUGAUUUGUAAAAAGCUUGAGAAUUCAAUUUUCUUUUGUUGCCUUUUUUUUUUUUUUGUGUUUAUUUUGCAGUGUUGUCGACUAAUUUCCCAAAGACAACAUAAAUGUUAUUCUGAUAGUUACCACCAUCAAUUUUUCUUAAAUGACAUUUAAUUUUUUAAAUCAAUUUUGAGAGAGUAUUGGUUUCUUAUAAUUACAAUCAAAUAACAACACUGAACUGAAUAUCAUUAGGAAUUCUGAUGCCUUUUACAAAGAAACAAGAAACAGAAGCACGUUAAAUAAGCAAAAGCAGAAGUAGAUAGAGAGUAGCUAAUAAUUUACAGUAACUAAUGUUUAAUCUUCAAGCGCUAAAGAAGUCAAUAAGCAUGGAAACUGAAGCUUCAGAGUAAGGCAACACAAGCGAACGAGAUUUCAUUUCUCGUAUAAAAGCAGAGACUUCCCCAGCGUUAGGAAAGUUAUUGCUGUGUUCUUUAGCUUCAACGGCCUGGCUGCUGCUGGUGCUGCUGGUGCUGCUGCUACUGCUGCUGCUACUGCUGCUUGUUCCCCAAAUGGUUAGGCCCUUUUCACGCAGCUUGGCCAACUCACUUGUCCAUAUAUCCACAAGUGCAGACAUUGUCGUUGCUAAUUAAACUUUUGAAGAAGAUAUUUGGAAUGUAAGAUGUUUCGAGAUAUCAAGAUCUUGAUGGCUGACUGGGGAGGGGUUCGGGUUUAUAAAGGAUGAAUCAUUGAUGGUUUUGUUUAAUUUUCAACGGCGCGCACAUGUAAAUUUUGUUGCAUCUCUCUGUGGGCUAUGAGAUGAAGUAAACAAUAUAAUUUUCAAUGGGUCCCUCUCUCUCUGUGGUACGGCUCAAUACCGCUGCAAUGAUAUAGUGGUAUGCUUAGCCAAAGAAUGACUUCCGAUUAAAGUAAAUAAAAAAAUUUAAAAAAGAGGAAAGAUAAUUUUACUUUUAAGUAUAUAUAUAUAUAUAUAGAGAGAGAGAGAGAGAAGGAAAUUAAAUAAGAGGGAUCAAUAUAUAUUUGAUGUUUGUGAUUAAUAUGCUGGUAUUAACACAAAUAAUUCUGUAAAUCAAGAUUUUGAUGGCCGAAUGGGGUUUAUAAAUGACGUGAUUGAUUGUUGGUUUUAGUUUUGAUUUUCUACGGCGCACACAUUUUGUUGUAUAUAGCGAUCAAGUUCAUAUGUCUCUCCUGUGGGCUUUUAGCCUUCAAUAUCGAGUAAAUUAAAUAUAUCAUUUUCGGUGGGGACAUGGACAUGCCCCAAUACCGCAGCAAGGUUAGUGGCAUGUGUCAAUUUUAAAAUUGUAUAACAAUUUCAUGAUAAUAAUCAAAGUGGCUAAGAUCAGUGUCUAUUGCUGUCUUAAAUCCCAAGUGGGUUACAAAACUCACUCUAUUUUUCUUUUAUUAAACAUAAUUGUUAAUGAAAAAAAUUUUAGAUCGUGGGCGCCCAAAAUCAAUUUCAAGAUUUACCUCAAGAGUGAGACUUUUGACAACUUUUGAAAUCUUUAUAAAACUCUUUUCAUAAAGAUCUUGAUUAGUAUUGAGGUGUUGUAUUUUUUAAAAUAUAGUUUUUUAGAAAAAAAAAAUUGUAACUGUAAAAUAUAAGUUAAUAUUGUGUCCUGAAUAUGACUUUUAAAUAAAAAUUUUGACAAAAAUAAUAAAGAUAUUAUAAUUUUUUCAUCAUACAAGUAGCAUAUUAAAUUAACUUAUUUUUUUAAGCCAUAAUAAUUAGUGUUUAUAAGGUAUUUCAAUAUUGUAAUUUUUAAAUUAUAACUACUCAGUCUUUAAACCAAACAAGGCCUAAAUGCAUUCCAUUAACGUUACACAAGUAAUUCACCCCUAAACAUUCUUAAUUUUAUUCUACACAUAUCCUUCAUUCAUAUAUCAACGCGUGAAAAUGAUUACGAUUCUUUCUUCUUCUGCAUAAUAUAUUCAUAAAUAUCAUCAAUAACUUAUCCUAUUCAAACUAAUGAAUAAAAUAUUAGAUAUAUUUGAACCGAUCAAAAUCAUGAUGCCCUCCAUUCCUCGCAUAAUCUGAUUUUUGGCAUCUCAUCUACCUAAGGCCUUUUGUUUUCUUCCCCUUUUUCUUUGAUCAACAAAAAUCUGAAAAAAGAAGAGACGGGUAUUCAUUGUUAUGGAAUGCAAUUUUCAAGGGUGAAAACGUCAUUAUCUAGAGCCGGGAUUUUAUAAGGAUUCUAGAGGUGUGCGAAUAGCACAACUCUUUCUUAAAAUGAAUUAGGCCCAAUCGUUUCUCUCAACCAAAGAUAAGGCCUGGAAACCUUAUCCUUGACAAUGCCAUUACAAAAUUCACCAAUUACUGGAUUCUGCUAGUAAUGCCCCGACUUGUUUUCUAUUGAUCAUUCAGUGCACAAAUAAUUGAACGCAUGUCCAAUAUGUUGGUGGCCAAUGUUGAAAUGAGGGCCGACGAACUUUUUAGACCAUUUUUUUAAUUUAUUUUUUUAUUAAAGACCCCAAAUGUGCGGAGUUGACGGGACUCUCUUACAUGUGGAUUAAUAAAAUAUAUGAGAAACAUCCGGAGGAGGUCAAGAACCGAAACAUCCAAGUUAAAGACAAUGAAACAAUCAAUAAGAAAAAAAUUAUUAAAAAAACAACAGCACCAAAAACACCGAAAAAUCAUAUCAACAUAAUUUUAAAGAUACAACAUAUAGUGUUUAUUAAACACUUUACCCAUGUAGCUUAAAAAGAUACAGCUGUUCAACUUCAAUCCCAAACACACCUAAAGUCUAGUAAGAGAACCACCCCGGAGAUAAGAAAAAACUAAUGGAGAGACCGCCUCUUCUAAUACUUGUGACCAGUGACUAAAGUAAUUAUUUAUUUAUUUUAUUAGUUACUUAGCACCCCAAUUCUUACUCCACCCUCAUAUUAAACGUAUCUAUUUGGAUUGAUAGUUUGAGACCCUCAACUUCUUACUUUCAUUUUAAGAGAUCAUCAACUUGGCUAUACAUGCUUUUCAUUGGGAUAACUACUUCUGUUUGUUAUUAUUAUUAUUAUAUUCGUGAACAUUUCUCUUAUGUGCUCUAUAAUCCCAUUUUAUUUCAUAUGACACGUGUUAAUUAAAUUUUCUCCUUAGGUAGAGUUUAGAUUUUGCUUUAGUUAUUGUUUUGAAUUAAAUCAUUAAUGAUAAAAAUCUUAUGAUUCAAUCGGAAAAAAAAAAAAAAAAAAACCUCUCUCUUCACAUAUUUGUGAACUUAUAAAAAUCUCUUUUAUCAUGCUAUUGCUUUUAAUGUCCAAUGCACAUGCAAUCUUGGUAUCAUGCACGCAAAUAAAAUUUUCUAGCUUAAAAUGGAUUCACAUCAAUGACAAAAAAUUAACUCUAUGAUUUAAUUUCCCCAUUACCAUGAUCUUUAUCUGCGCCAUUAUUAUUGAUUUUCGCCCUUUCUAUCAGAUUAUUAUUAAUUAACAAAUUCUUUAAAAAUUUGGAUGAACAUUUUUCUCCGGGGCAAAAAUUUGUUCACUAGUAAAUGGUAAAAUUUGAUCCAAUUCAUGGUUUGGCUUGCUUUUGGUUUGAUGAUUUGUUAUGUGAUUUCAAGUGUCUUAAUUUUUUUUUCCUCCAUUGAAACUCGAUUGUAGGAACCAGAUGAAAUCAAUGAUAUCGAAUUGGCCACACAGCUUUCUCUUCUUGAUCUCAAUGUAAAGGGAAAAAAGCAUGGUGAAGUUGGUAAAUGAUCACUAUUUUCUUUUUGCUAAUUAAUAUUUUUAUUAGCUAAUGAAGAUAUCAGCUGCUAAUUAAUUAAUCAUUAUUAUAUAUACAUGCAGUUGCAGAUGAAGACGAAGAACUUGCUAGAGCUAUCAAAGAAAGCCUCAGAUCUUCUUCAAAUUCAAAACAAAUUAGGUGACUUAUCGGAAAAUCAAAUUAAAAUUUUUGAUAAAUUGAAGAAAUUUUCACAAUUAAUUGUUAACCAAAAGCUAAUUUACAUGAAAUUUUUGAAUAUAUGACUUCACAUGAAUUGAUUAUUCCAGGUCUUGGUCCACGUCUAUAGGAAGCUCAAGUACAAUAGAUUGUGAUGUUUGCAAUAAGGCGGUAAGCAUAUGUAUAACAUGAUAAAUUGAGGGGAAAAAUGGGGUCUGAUUACGGUGCAAUUGUGGUAUCGUAUUAUAAUUGCAUCCAUAUAUUGGAUGCACUUAAAUGAGUGGGGUCUACUGACAUCCAACGGCUGGAUACAACUGUGGCACGGUACCACAGUUGCACCACAAAUUUUCCUGAAAAAAUGAUACAAAGACUCUCAAAUUUUAAAAACAAAUAUAUAUAAAUUCUCUCAAAUUUGGUCCAUAAUUGUUGACACUACACAUGAUGCUUGUCCACUCUCAUUUUGCAAAACCAAUCACGCCAUCGGGUAAAUUUUGAAAAAUAUGUUUUGUUGUAUAUCCCAAACAAAUGAAAAGGACUAAACAAUGAGCUGUUUAUGUCCAUUUCUGGAAUAUCAGAAAUCUAAUUUCACAUUUGGGCAAGUGUCAUUUUCCUAAAAUUAAUGAGUUUUGGUUCAAAUUUCAUUAAUGCUAAAUAUUAUUACAUUCUCAAACAGUUAUCACCAGGCAUGAAUUAUUGUAACCCUGAAUUUUGGAAUCAGCGAUUUUGCUACAACCAUUUCAGUGAUGGGACUCCAGUCUGCUGUGGAUGCGUUAGAUUGAAGGUAUAUAUAUAAAAGAAAAAAAAAUAUGUAUAUGUCUAUUCUUCAAAAAUUAAAACAAAUUAAAAAUGUCUUUAUUUUUUGGCUUCAUAUUGAAAAAAAAUAAAAAAAAAUCAUACAAUAAAAUGAAUUCUUUACUUUGUGUAGCGAUCGGACUUGGAAUAUUUUGAUCUCGGCGAUGGUCGAACAAUAUGUCGUGAUUGUUAUUCUACAUCGAUCAAAUGCACACAACAAAUUGAACCUCUUCUAAAUAAUGUGCUGCAAUUUUUCAAAGAAAAAGGCAUGGAAAUUCAGGAGCAAGUUCCCGUUUUCUUGGUCACAAGAAUGGAGAUGAGUAGACAUACAAGUCAAGGAACAAGCCUUGGGGUAACUUUUUCAAUAUUUAUAUUAAUGAUUUUAUUUAUUUAUUUCUUUAAUUUUGCGUGGAAAGAAUUUAAACUCGUUAUAUUACUUCAAUUAUGCCAAAAUAACAAACUACUAUAAGAAUUAUCGAGGUGUAAUACUUUUAUAUGUUGACUAUAAAAAUAUUCUUUUUUUUUAUUAUUUUGGUUUUCACUACAUAUAAGUGAUUUAUGAUUAAUACCGGAACCAAUACCAUUCUUUCUUGUCUUUUUUAGCAUCCUAUUGGAUUCCAUUCCAAAUUAAAGUAUCUAUUUAAACUGAAUUAUAUAUGUAUUUUGACCUCUUACUUUCAUUACAAGAGAUCAAAUUGAAUUAGUGUUUAGAGAAUUGGGCUAAUACUUAAAUAAAUUUGUAUAUAUUUUGCACCAAAUGAAGGAAACAUUUUCGAAAUUUACAUUUCAUGUGUGUGCUUUUGAUCUAUCAUCAUUUAAAUGUUACUUAAACUAUUCCCUACUACUUGUGCAAACAGAAUGUUCAUCCAAAUGCCACUAUAUUUGGGUUAACUCAUGUGCUUCCAUAUGGCAGUAUCGAUCUCCGAAGUGUAAGUAACUUUAUCAAUUUAUUUUUUUCUUCAAUUUGUCGAAUAUGAUGUACAUAAGUAGAUGUCAUCUUAUUCAAACGUUUGUAAACGAACUUGAAGUAAAACCAUAACAAAACAACAUCAUUUUGUAACAAUCAAAUGAUGCUUUGAAUGGAGGACAACAGUUCGAACCCCCACAAAUGCAUUGUGAGAAUAUUUCCUUUCUUAAUUAAAAUUGAGUGAAUGUAGUCUUUUUUCUUAUCCAAAAGUGAGGAGUAGACAUCUCUCGAAUAUUUGUGAGGGUUAAAAUCUGGGCAGAGCUCCAUUAGUAUUGAUGUAAGUUGGUCACAGUAAUAGUCUGAUUUGUAAAUAUCAAUUACAGUCUCAUGUAAUAUAAGUUGUAGUUUGAGCAAUAGUCUCAUGUAAUAAAAAAAAUGAUACUUUGGAUUAAUUAAAGUUCAAGUUCACAUUUUGUGUGGCGCACACACACACAGAGAUAUUAAAAUAUAAUUUUUUUUGUUUGUUUUAAUUUUAAUUCUCAUUUUAUAAGAUGUGAACAAUUCUUCUUAUAAGAUAACCCGCUAGUCUGCUAAUAUAUAUACAUGUAUAGGUCACAAGCUCUUCACUUAGGGGAAGACAAGUUAUUUUGGAGGAAAAAGAUUAUGAAGUAACUGGAUGCAAAGCGACAAUAAUGGUUCUAUAUGGUUUGCCCAUGUACGUACUUACUAUAUACCCAUCUUAAAUAUACAAAUUUAACCUCAAUUAAAGUUUUUUUCUUUUAAGUAUAUAAUUGUCAUCAUUACAGACAGUUAAUUAAUUGAGCGUUUGUAAAUUAUAUUAAUUUUUGAGAAUCAACUUACAGGUGUAUGACUGGUGGGGUUUUAGCUCAUGAAAUGAUGCAUGCAUGGCUUGGAAUUCAAGGUCAGCCUUAAAAAAAUUAUUAUUAUUAUUAUUUAUUAGUUUAGUAGCAACUAAAUUCGAUUCCUUUUGAUUAUGUGAGCAGGAUUCAAAUCUUGGAUGUCUUAUUUUUUGUAUAUAAGAUUUUACCAACUAAAUUAGUUGUUACACGCUUAUUUAAAUUAAUAUUGUAGGGAUUCGGCGAUUGGAGCCAAAAAUUGCGGAAGGAAUAUGCCAAGUAAUGGGGCAUGAAUGGUUGGACUGGUUUGAAUCUAAAGACCCUCAGGGCUCAUACAGCUCUAUUGAAGAGGCUCAAUAUGCUAGGAACUUGAAGAAAGCUUACAAGCACCUUGUAGAAGUCGAUUCUUCUCGUGCUUAUGGUGAUGGAUUCAGGGAUGCUAAGCACUCUGUUGCUAAAUAUGGCCUUUGUAAUGUUAUUAAUCAUAUAAGAAGAUAUAGAACUCUUCCUAAUUAAUUAAUUUGAACCAUACAAGAAUAAUUGAUAUGUUUAUUCCCCUAUUAUGUAUACAAUACAAUGUGAAUUGAUAGGAGUUCAAAAGUAAAUUAUGUAAUAAAUUAAUAAUGCAAUAUUGAUAUCAUAAAGCACAUAAGCCGAACUCAUAUUCAAAAGAUUAAUUCAUAUGAGAUUUUUUUUUUUCUAUCACCCAUUGUCACAUGAAAACAAAUUUUUUUUUAACCGAUCUUUAUAAGUGAAAGUAUAGUGUGGACUAUUCAUACAUAACUAAUACCAUAUAAAAAUCCAUAAACCUAAUUUAUGCUAUAUUAUUAGCCCAUAAACAUAAAGGCAUAAAAUGCUAUUAAACUAAUAUGAGAUAUUUUCUCUCUUUUAAAUAUUGCUUUCAUAUUAAAAAGAAUGUUACAUAAAUUAUUCCUGUUAAGUAGAAUGAGAUCUUAGAAUAACCUUAUAUCAUGGUAUUAAAAAUUAGGGAAAGGGAAAAAGAGAAAAAAAAGAAAAAAAAGAAAGAAAGAAAAAGGUUAUCAAUGGGGUUAAUUUUUUUGUGAUGGAAAUGAGAAAAUCUAAAAGAGUAUGCUCCAGAAGCUAAAUUGUAUUCACACAUUCAGAAGGUGAAAGCGAAGUAGGUAGAAGUGGGCAUGCAUGCAUAUAUGGUGUGAAGACUCGAAAGUAUGCCAAGUUUGAAUCAAUGUGUUUCAGAUGAGGAAAUUAGACAUCAUUGAUCUUGAUGGCAACCCUAUUUUAUUGGAUUUGGCCUCAGACGUCAAUGUCCUAAGUAAAUUAGUCUUUAUUUGUAAAUAAAUUAAAUCCAUUAUAUAUAUCGUAUUCUAAAGUCUAAUAAGUACCGUCGGAUACCCAGUUAAUUAUGUGGCUAUGAUUUUUUGUGGUAUCAUAAUUCAACCCUUGUAAUAUAUAUAUUUUUAUUAAAAAUUAUAUUCAACAUCAUCACCUUUUUAUGUCCAUAGUUAGGCAUCGUUUGGGAUUUAUUAUGUUGUGGUUGGGCUAUCUACUACCAAACACAAUGACUGGUGAUCGAGUUAAAAAAAAAAUUUGUGAUGGAAAUUAGCCUUUUUGGCUGUGUCAUGUCGCAAUUCUGCCGAAUGAGACUUUUAUUGAGUUUAUUCAACACCAAAGAUUUAUUUGUUAAACGUUUAAAUUUUAUUAACUUCAACUUUUCUUUUAAAUUUAUUUAUUUGUUUUUAUAUCUUAUCUGAUUUUUAAACAUUUAUAUUUGAGUAAGUUUUUUAUAUGAAUGAAAAAAGAUCUCAAUAAAAAAUAAAUAUUAUACUCUAAAAAUAUCUCUUUAAGAAUAUUUAUUUUCUACACUAUAAAACAUCAUUUUUUUUUCUUUAUUUUGAUUUAUGUUUACAUAAAUAUCAAAUUAUCAUGUUUAAAAUAUUUUUUUAUUUAUAAAAAAAAAUACCACUAAUAUUCAUAUAUUAAAAACUAAAAAUAAAUAUAUUAUUUAAAAAAUUAUAUUCAAACCUUUUUAGACUUAAAAAAAAAUUAACAUCCACCGUAGUCCGAACGCACCCUAAAUAUUUUUUAAGUAAUGAUAUAACCACAAAUUCUUGUAUAAACUUAUUUUGUACAAACUGAUGUGGCAUGAUAAAAUUAAUUAAAUUAAAUAUCACUUGGCCCACAUAAUUUAUUUUUAUUAUUUUAUAUUUUCAUUCAACCAAUAAAUUAAUGACACGUCAAUUUAUAUAAAAUAAAUUUAUACAAAAAUUUAUGACUGUAUUAUUACUCAUAUUUUUUUUUAUUAACAGUUUCACUAUUUUUAGAGGCCACGGAACCUCCUCCAUUUGAAACUGUCCCGUACUCGAGAGUCGAGUGAAUCAUCAAAACGCAUCUGUCACUUUAAGAUUCCAAGUUGGCGGAUCGGAAAGACUAUUUGGCUAACCUACCUACCUUCGGGUAAAAGGUCAAAUAGUCAUGAGUCAAUAUUGAACACUGAGUGCAUAAUGUCAUCGUUUUUUUUUUUUUUUUUGAGCAACGAGCAUAACUAACUUUUUUUUUUUUUUUCCAAAUUCAAUUAUAAUAUUUUUAAAUACUAAUAUAAAUCUUACACCUGAUAAUAAUAACAAUUUUAAUUUUAAUUUAAUUCUAGUCUUCAGAUUUUAUGUUAAUUCGACUAAAUUUACAAUAAUUCACCAACCAUUUAAUUUUGUGAAGGAGGAUAAUAUUUCAAAGCACACCAAGUACGACGAUCCUAGUAAACAAAACGACAAAUAAUCCCUCAAUUCGGGGGGUGAGAAAAAAAAACAUUAAAAAAAUCAUGCGAGACACGAUAAAAUGUGAGGAUAUAAUACGCACACCUGCCGAGCACGGUUCAUAGUUCAUUCUCAGACUCCACGCUGUCCGCUAACUUUUGCGCCGUCUCUUUCUCGCUGAAUCCGUGAAUCUCCCUCAUCAUGGCGACGACUCUGCAAUUCUGCCGUGUUUGCGCGCGAACUGACAUAGGUUCGCGCCGUAAUAAUCGCUCCGGAGCGCUGGCUCCGCCGCGCCGGAGGCCUGUGAUCGUCAGGUGCUCCGGUGAAAAAUCGCCGAGCUCGGCGGCGGCUAUUGGUGCCGAAUUUGACGCGAAACUGUUUCGGCAUAACUUGACGAGAAGUGAUAAUUACAAUCGGAGAGGAUUUGGCCACAAGGAAGAGACUUUGGAGCUCAUGAAUCAGGAGUACACAAGUAAGAUUUUCAUUUUUCUUUUUCAAAUUAAAAUUUCUUUGUUACUGGAUUUCCUCUUGUUUAUUCAGUAGGAAAUGAAAUUAUUGUUACUUAAAAUUUCUUUAUUUUAGCUAAUAAUUCACCUUAGUUUAUAUUUUUGAAAGGGAUACAUUAAGUAAUAAAAACUAAAAAAAAUCAAAGAAAUUUGUGUGAUUUUUACUUUUCAUUUUUUUAAUCUAUGAAAAUAUUUAUUUUUAUUUUUUAAAUUUUAUUUAGGACAGCCAGAUCAAUCGGUGAUUUAUGUUUUUAUGAACUCAUCAUCAGUUUGUGAUUAACAAAUUUUAAGAGAUAUUUGUUAAAAUCUUAGUGUUUCUAUUUGUCGUUAGUGUUAAUGUGGCGGCGAUGAUUUUUUAUUGAUUUCGAUGAGAAUUCUUUCAGGUGAUAUUAUAAAGAAAUUGAAGGAGAAUGGAUUUGAGUAUACUUGGGGAAAUGUUAAGGUGAAGCUGGCAGAAUCAUAUGGCUUUUGCUGGGGAGUUGAGCGUGCUGUGCAGAUUGCUUAUGAAGCAAGAAAACAGUUUCCUGAGGAGAAGAUCUGGAUUACCAAUGAAAUCAUACACAAUCCAACUGUUAAUAAGGUCUUAAAAAAAAUUAAAAUGAAUACUGCUUCUCUAAUAUUUUCAAUUUAGAUAAUUUUUUUUGCCCUGUUGUUUGUUAAGUUGUUCAUUUGUUCUUUUUCGUGGUUAUGGAUUGUAAAGAGAAAAUCUGUAUUGAUGAAACUGUUAUGCUCUUUGCUUCAAUCAUGAUUUGAUCCUUUCAUUAUUAUAUUCUAGUAAAAUGAUUACUGAGGCUCUUAAGUAUACAUGGCAGCGGUUGGAGGAGAUGGCAGUUCAAAAUAUACCUGUUGAGGAAGGAAAGAAGCAAUUUGAUGUGGUAAAUAAGGGUGAUGUUGUGGUUUUGCCUGCAUUUGGGGCUGCAGUUGAAGAAAUGGUGACUCUGAAUAACAAGAAUGUACAGAUUGUUGAUACAACUUGCCCUUGGGUGUCUAAGGUACCCUUAGCUGAGACAGAUCAGCUGCUAUUAUGAUUAUUCAUUUGCCUGUUUACAUCUUCAAUCCCUCUUCAUGUUACAUAUUAUAUAUAAGUUUUAAAAUUUUUGUGAAGGUCUGGACUACUGUUGAGAAGCACAAGAAGGGAGACUACACUUCAAUUAUUCACGGUAAAUAUUCUCAUGAGGAAACUGUAGCAACUGCAUCGUUUGCAGGAAAGUAUAUCAUAGUCAAGAAUAUGAAAGAGGUAUGUUCAGAAGGUGGAUUAUAUUCUCUUUUGUGGAGAAUCUGUAGAGCAAUAUUAGGAGAUAUUCAUUCAAAUGUUUUUUUUCAAUUGUGAUUUAAUCCAGGCUGAGUAUGUGUGUGAUUACAUUCUUGGGGGUGAACUUAAUGGAUCUAGCUCAACAAAAGAAGCAUUCCUUGAGGUAUGAGUUUUGUCGCUUAUUUGACUGUGAAUGUCGACAAUUUUUGGGGAGUUUUGCAGAUAUUGAUAUAGUUAUUUGCUUGCUUACAGAAAUUCAAGAAAGCUGUUUCAAAAGGGUUUGAUCCAGAUGUUGACCUGGUAAAAGUUGGCAUUGCUAACCAAACUACAAUGCUCAAGGGUGAAACAGAAGAGAUUGGUUAGUUGCACUAAUGCUGAUGUCAACCCAUCUGUUUCCAAGAAAGUUUUGGCUUCUGAUAUUUAAGCAAUUUUCAUUGUUCCAGGAAAACUAGUCGAGAAGACCAUGAUGCGUAAAUUUGGAGUUGAAAAUGUCAAUGAACACUUCAUAAGCUUCAACACAAUUUGUGAUGCUACACAAGUAAUUUCUUUUCCUAACUCAUCGUUUUUCCUUUUCAGAUUUUUAUAAUUUUGUGAGUGAUAGCACUUCCUGUCCACUGCAUGUGUCUUAAUACUCCUAAUAAAAGCCCGGAAUGUUGAACUUUGAAUGCUAAAGCUAACAACAUACUUGACCAUUUGUUUUCGAUGACCAAACUGCUCUGCCAGCAAUACUCAGCCACUGGUUAAACUGCAAGUUGUGUACCAUUUUGUUGUGUUCAGUAAAAUAUAACCUAAUGAUUUUGGAUUCAAUUUUUGCAGGAGCGACAAGAUGCAAUGUAUAAGAUGGUUGAGGAAAAGGUCGAUCUUAUCUUGGUUGUUGGUGGGUGGAACUCGAGCAAUACCUCACACCUUCAAGAGAUUGCAGAAGACCGUGGAAUACCCUCAUACUGGAUCGAUAGUGAGAAGAGAAUAGGUCCCGGAAACAAAAUAGCAUAUAAAUUGAUGGUAUGUGUGAACAUAUUGAAUUUUACUUGCAUCAACAGAGUAAUUUUCAAGUUUCAAAGUUUCUUUAUUAAUUAUCUGCGCUUCGUUAUCUUGUAAAUAGCAUGGUGAGCUGGUGGAGAAAGAAAAUUGGCUACCGAAAGGCCAGAUCACAAUCGGUAUAACAUCCGGUGCCUCCACCCCAGAUAAGGUAAUUUCUUCUGCAUAAAAUUUCUAAAUAGAUUCUUGCUUACCUUGAUUUUAUUUUUUUCAUUCUUGACUUCUAAUUUACCAUGCCAUAACUAAUUACAUCAUUUUCAUCCCUCCACCCCAGAUAAGGUAAUUUCUUCUGCAUAAAAUUUCUAAAUAGAUUCUUGCUUACCUUGAUUUUAUUUUUUCAUUCUUGACUUCUAAUUUACCAUGCCAUAACUAAUUACAUCAUUUUCAUCCGCUGGUGGUGAAUUUUAUAGGCUGUUUGAUAAGAUUGUUAUAAUUUUCCUCUGUGUUUUAUCCAGGCUGUUGAAGACGUCCUUAAAAAGGUGUUCGAGAUCAAGCGUGAAGAAGCCUUGCAAUUAGCGUAAACUGAGGUCCAAACAUACACAUUAUCAAUAAAUUUCGAUGUGAUUGUAUCACUAGAUAUUGUAAAAUUAUAAACACAGCCCUCUGCCGGGUCUUUUAUCAGUGCCCAUGUAAUCUGAAAUUUAUAUUUUUUGUGUAAUAUGAAGCUAGAGAUUGCAAUUUCUAACCAGCAGGAUAUUUAUUGUAAAACUCCAAUGAAAUCACAGACAAGAUUGGACAAUUACUGUCUUGUUGAACAAAAGGAGAGUAAAAAGAAUAGCACGCUUCAGAACAAAAGGAGAGGAAAAAGAGUAGCACGCUUCAUUGAAAAAUUAAGCAUGCCUCCUGUAUCAAUCAAUUGAAAGAAUUUUGUGUACCAACGUCAUCCCCCUGCAGUAAACCUCCUGAUUUGAAUCAUCAAUGAUUUGUGUUUCUUCUGGUAAUGAAAUUCAUCAAUCAUCUACUUUUAACUUUUAUUCAAGUAGUUGCGGAUCUGGAGGACCCUCCAUCGUUUUCAGACGAUCCUCAGCUUCCAAAGCCUGGCAUCAUUUAACAAGUUUAUCAACAGAUUAACUUUGAUUAAAAUUCAGAAGCUAAUGUCAUUCUUGGUACUGAGUCCUGCAGAAUUGUACAUUGAAUUACAGAACCUUAGAGCUUUUGUAAGAGAAACUUAAUUUACCUCUUUCUGCCAGUUAGUUUGAAGCAUCCGAAUCACAAGAACAGUUGUUUGAAAUAGGCAACCGAGCAACAAUCCUGACCAUAUGCCAUUGAUGCCAAGUUUAAAUCCGUAGCCCAGCAAGGCACCGACAGGAAGUCCGAAGACAUAAUAACACGCUAUGCUUAUCAAUGCAACUAAAAACUGCCAGCCUGCGCCUACGGCCACCCCUGCAAUGUUAAAGAUUUUACGCAAAUAUGAUUUUAGACGCAAAUCUUGUGCAAGAUUUUUCUGAACUGAAAUGCUUAGACUGAGAAUCUGUCGAGCGUAGUAGCAGUUACCAAGGAGAACCGCUUGGAUGCUGUUGAGGAAGAUUGUUGCAGCUAGAAAAUAUGCAAGCUUUGACGUCUCCCUUAUGAGAAUUGGUUUGUCUGUGAACAAUUUGGGAAACUGGUUCUCGAAUGCCAGAACCAAAAGAGUAAAUAAAAUUCCAAAUGCUGCAGAUGUUAUUACUGACACCGCGAUUGAGAAUUUUGCAGCUUUUGGAUGUCCAGCUCCAAGUUCAUUAGACACCCGCACGCUUCAAGAGAAAUCAGGAUGUACUUUAAUGAAAGCAGCUAGAUAAAUACAUAAGAGAAUGGAUGAUAAAGUUAUGCCUUCUUUUGGGUAACAAAUUACGCACAUUCUCAUGCCUUCAAUGAUUUCAAUCGCAAAACUCCUUUCUAAAACAAUGGAAUCAAAUUUUCUUCUACUACUCAAUUGUCAUUUGUUCUACGGUGUCAUUCAGUUAAAAAGUUAUAAAUCACUUAAAAUUAUUCCAAAGAAGCAGUGACUGACCUUAUUGCUGUAUGGAAACCUAAACUUAUCAUCAAAGUCCAUUGUUGCAAGUUCAUGCUGCCAAUUCAAACCAUGAGGAGGAAAAAUGAAAGAGGAUUUAGCAGGCUUAAUACAUAGAAACAUAAGAAAACUCACCAAAUCGAAAUGGCAUCUACUGCAAUUUCUGGAUUGUUUAGCCAUCCUACCAUGAGAAUAACUGCUGUGUAAUACCAAAGCUCCAAGCUGUUUGCACAAACAUGUUGUGUGUGUCAUGUCAAUAACGUGGAAUAUCCUAAAGCUCACUAAAUAACUCAAUUCGAAUCAUUAAUUACCAUAACAUUACAGCUGAUGCAAGUGAGAGUUUCACAAAACUAGCCAAUGACUUGAAAGCCCUCAAAGAAAAGCCUGUCCAAGCAUCUGGGAAACAUCCAGAAGUUACAUAGACUACUAGUCCCACGACCAUAAGCCACAAAGAAAUAUCCCCAGCAAUGGCUGCACCAACAAUUCCGUAAUUGAGCUUUGCCACCAGAAUCCAAUUUAAAAACACAUGAAAUAUCAAUGCUGCCAUCGAAAUCAUAGUCAUGACCCAAACUCUGCUUUGCGAUUGCAGAAAUUUCUGUAUUGGAGAGUUUAUAGCAUAAGCAAACAGUUGCGGAACUAUCCAUUUAGAAUACUUCCCUGCAAGCUCUGAAAUUUCCUUGUCUUGGCUUAGAAGCUUUAAAAAUGGCGUUGCAAAGAUAUAAAAAGGCAUUAGGCACAAAGCUGUGGCGCCGGUAACAAUGAAUGAUCUUUGCAAAUAAAUUCCAAGCAUAUCAAAUCGUCCAGCACCGACAGCCUGACCAGAUAGGGUCUCCAGAGCACUGCCCAUCCCCAGCUAAUUAACACAAAUUACACCCAAAAACAGAACAAUACCGAAAUCAGUUCAAAUUCAAAUGAAAUUUACCAUUUCUUAGAACAGAGUAUUAGCUUUCUAGCAAUCAAUUCUUCAGUUGAUAACCUUUCAAUCUCACAUUUCAUCUCAAGUAUGACUAUCAAUCAAAAUUAUUACUACAAUUUGUCAGAAUUUUUAGAUAUUACAAUCCUGAGUCUAUUAGGAGUCUGAAUUCAUACAUUUCUAUCACAACCCAAGAGCAUAGAUCAAAAUCUACACCAACUAGUGGCCAGACCUUUAUCUCAUACCAACACAGACAUAUAAACACCACUUAUCUAUCACAAUUCACACUCUCAUUACAAGUUUUACAUUCAAUGUUAUAAGUACAAGAUUUCACAGAACAUGUGUGACGAGACGAGUGUUGUAAGUUUUACUUCAUACGCAUUCACAUCGCCCCAAAAAAAAGGGAAAAAAAAAUCAUCAAUACAGAAUUUGAAGUAAAUGAUUAGCUACUCACCAUGAUUCCAUAAACAAAGCCUUCAAUGACAUUUUGAACAACGGAGACGGCUGCAAAUUCAACUUCACCCAAAUGACCAACAAAGGCAGCGGUAACGAAGGUGAUAGAGAAUUCAGAUCCUGAGGCUAAAAUCACGGGGCCAGCAAUUUCCCAUAUCUUCUUUGAUUCAUUCCAGCUUCUUUCUCUGAAGUUUUUGUGACUGCCCAAGUCAUCAUCUUGUUCCCUUGUCUUUGUCUCUAUCUCAAAUGUCUGGCUCUUCUCCGCCAUUAAUGCUGCUGUCUCUUCCUCUGUUUCUUCCAUCAAACACCUCUCACCCUCGCUCACAGCCUGUAGUCUUUCUUUUAAUGAGUGUAAGGAUUUGUUUGCAGCUAUUAUUUGUGUGAAGAGUUUAAUAAACACACGUACGUUGCAUGCGCAACUUCCUCAUUUGUACAUUUUUUUCACAAUGAUUUUAAUUUUUAUUCCACAUAUACAAAGGGAGAUUGCUAAUUUCCACUAUUGUUCUUAGGGAAAUGGAUAAACACACCUCCAAGGUUUAGGUAAAGGGAUAAAAAUUCUUCUAACGUUUCAAAAAAGAUAUUUACACCCCAAUUUAUUAUAAUUUUACCAUUAUACCCUUCUAACAUGUAAAAAAAAUUAUUAGAUUAUUCAAUUUGUCUAUAUAUUGUUAAUAAAACUAUAAAUAAACAAGUUGGAUAUUAUAAAAAAAUUAUAAAUAUACCCUCAUUGCCCAAUUUCUCUAUUUAAAUUUUUAUCAAUAACCAUUUUUUUUAAAUCUAUACACCUAAAAAAAUUGUAAAUAAAUUAUAAUUUUAAAAAUAAAAUUGGUUAUUAAUAACCAAUUUUAUUUAAACUUUAAACUUGUAUAUUUAACAAUUCUCCACAUAUCAAUAAUUUAAACUUGUAUAUUUAUAACUAAUUUUCUAUGUUAUUUAUUAUGGUAUUAAUAACCAAUUUUAUUUACAAUUUUUUUUAAGUGUGUAGAUGUCUUUUUUGAAAAUUGGUUAUUGAUAAAAAUUUAAAUAGAAGAAUGAGGUAAUGAGGGUAUAUUUAUAAUUUUAUUAACAAUAUAUAGACAAAUUGGAUAAUCUAAUAAUUUUUUUUUAUAUCCUAGAAGGGUAUAAUGGUAAAAUUAUAAUAAAUUGGGGCGUACAUGUAUUUUUCGAAACGUUAAGGGGGUUUUUUGUCCCUUUGUCUAAACGUUGGGGGUGUGUUUGUCCUUUUCCCUUGUUCUUAUUUUUAAAUACACUUUUAUUUAUAUUUAUUAUAAAUUAAAUAAAUCACAAGAAUGGAAAUGAAAAUAAAAAAAUUAAGUAUUAAAAAUAAGAAAUAUAUGUUUUGAUGUAAAAAAAUUAAUAAUAAAAUAUUUUUCUUGUACUUUUUACAUUCAAUUUUAAAAUAUUAUAAAAUAUUUAUUAUAAGAAAAUAUUUACAAAAUAAAAAAGUACGAGAAAAAGUUUAUUAUUAAUUUUUUUGGUUCAUAACAAAAUAUAGAUUUCUUACUUUUAAUACUUAAUUUUUUAUUUUAAUUUCCAUUUAUGUGAUUUAUUUAAUAUAUAAUAAAUACAAAAAAGUGUAUUUAAAAAUAAAGAUAAUAUUGUAAAUUUAUACUGUCAGGGAAUUAUUGGUUAUUAUAAAAAUAAUAGGGGUAAAUGAUAUAUAUUAAUUACAAUAUGAGAAAAUUUGACAAAUUUUCUAUAUACAAAUGUAUAAAGUUAUUUGCCCCUAACUAGCCCUCAAAUUAUAAUUAUUUUGAUUUCGUAAUCCAUAUUUUCCAAGUAGAGUCUCACGAAAUCUUUCAUCUUUAUCUUCAAUUACUUAUGAAAACAACUUAAAUUUAUUAUGACCAUUUUUCAUUGGCUGUCCACAAAUUCUAUUAUCAAGAAUCGUGGCCCAGCUAAAUAAUUUUGUUUGGUUAACCGUUUUAGUUUAAAUCCUACAAAAAAUUGAUUUAGACAUAGCUCACACUUCGAUUCUUUUGAAAAAUUAAAUUGUUAGUGAGUAAAACUAUAUUGAGUAAUGAUACAGCCAUAAACUCUUGUACAAACUUAUUUUGUAUAAACUGAUGUGGCAUGAUAAGAUUGGUUGAAUUAAAUAUCACUUGGCCCACAUGAUUUGUUUUUAUUAAUUUAUAUUUUCAUUCAACCAAUCUUAUCAUGCCACAUCAGUUUGUACAAAAUAAGUUUGUACAAGAGUUUGUGGCUGUAUCAUUACUCAACUAUAUUAGGAGUAAAAUUAUAAAUAUAUAUAAUCAAUAAAAUUAUUUAAAAAUCAUCUAGUUAAAUUAUUUGGGACCACUAUACCUUAAUUAAUAAAUGUAAUCUAAUUUUAAAUUUAUAUCUUAAAAUGUGCGUACGUUUAAUAAACAUAUUUGGAGGUGUUCGUGAAAAGAUGGUUGGUAGAAAUUUAUCAAGGACAAUGACAGGUAGCUAUAAGUUGGUAUUAAUAAAAGCUCUCCUUGAUUUGAAAAUUCAAACUUGGUAAGCUGUGAAUUCAAUUUUAUAACAAACAGUGAAUUUAAGCCUGUACUUGAAAUCGGUUGGUUACUUUCUUUUUCGGUGCAACAUUGUUGGAUACAGUGCUUUUCUAAGCUAAUAUCCACUUCUCAUUGUCAAACCUUAAGUUUUUAUUUUAAUUUUAUUUUAAAUUUUUUUAAUGUUUUCGUUCCUCUAUUACCCAGCAUAAAAAAAGAUGUGAGAAUGUCAAUUGAAAACUUAAGGUAUCAAGAAUGAAAAAUUUUAAAAGCAAAAGUUAUUUCAACAGAGAAUGAGAGAUGGCUGAAGCAUUUUUUUUCAAGUCUUGGCCAACUGUUAUUUGAUUCAUUGUAACAUAGUGGGAUUGCCCUUAUGAAAUUGUUACUCAAGUUGGUGAUGAAGGAAUAAUCAUGAUAAGAAUAAAGCAAAAAGAGAAAUGUAAUCAUAAAGAAUGGUAUAGUAUUCUAUUAAUCUUUCUUGUCAUUGAAGUUCAAAGAAUAAUGUAUGGUCAGUAUAAUAUUUUAUGAAUAAUAAUAAAGCUGGAAAUAAGGAAUACAAAUCAUAUAAUCUCAACACUAGGAUUUUUGAACUCAUAAACAACAAGAUAUUUGAUGCUUGCAAGUAUAAUUUCAACUCCUCUGUCAUGCUGUUGAUUCUGCUGAUGAAUUGAGUUGCGAUCGCAGUGCUUCUUGCUUGUUUCUCAUAGAACCAAUAAUGAAUUAUACUCCCAGAAAUCGUAAUUUCACCUGUGCAUGAAACAAGAAACUGAUGCAAGUUGUGACCAUUAGAGCACCAAAACCAGCAUACACGAUCGGUACUGAAGGGUCAGUCUGAAAGCAACCAACAAGGAUUAAUUCUAGUGUAAUUAAUUUAUAAAAUAGAUACAAUUACAAAUUGUAUUGUAUGCAUUAAAUUAAAGUUAACUUCAGGUCAAGACCAGUACUCCCGAUAGCAUCUACAACAACAAUUUUUGUGCCAUCAAUGUCAAUUACAAGCUUAGAGUUAGGUCGUCUGACUCCUGCAAAUUUCCCUUCUUGUUCAUAUAUGACUAAUGAUUGCAGAUCACGAGCAAGCAUUGAUCUAAAAUUAAACAAGAUGGAAGAACAAACUACGCGCUUACUGAACUUCCAAAAUCUUAGAGGAAAGAAAAGUAAGUACUGAAUUCUUGCCUAAAAUGUAAGUGUGAAAGAAAUACAUACCUUCCCUCGAUAUUAGGAGAAUUAACAUUUCCAAGAGGUAAGAAAGUCCCAAACAGCUUUUUGUCUCCAUCGACUUUUAGAGGUGCCAUUGCCAAAUUGAAAGGUCCUUCAUCAUUCUUGAGUACCUGCAGUGCCGAAAAACUCCAAACUGUCUGAUAUAUCGUGAUCCCACCAUACCUUGAAGGGGAAAUAACACUUAUUGUUUUCUUCAUCACCUCCUUCCCCUCAAUGUCAAAUAGAGAAAGAUCACUGUGAAACUGCUUCAUCAGUAAACCGGAAGAAAAACUUAAAAUGAAAGUAAAACAUCACAUUUGAACCAAAGAAUUUUUGGAGUUUCACAAGAAAGAUAAAAAAAAAGAAAUGAUAGUUAGCAGCAAAUCUUUAUGAAGAUCUUGAUCAGACCAUGCUUAUAAUGCACAAUGCGUACCUAGAACUCCUUAUAAGGUCCCCCUUCCUUUAUGCUAGUUACUAGACAAGAAAAAGGAAACUUACCUCUCCACUAUCGUAGUAAUCCAUGUAGAAUUUAUUGACAUGAACCUCAGUGCUGAAAGCAUCAGUAGGAGUAGAAAGAAAUCCAUUUGGGCCUAACACUCACCCACGACAAAAUUCAGCACUUCUGGAAUCGUAACGGAACUCCUGAAGCUCCCAAUUGCACUAGGAGUUCCACCUACCAUUGUCAGCAGCAUCGCCAAAUGUACUCCAAUAGGGGCAAAACCGACCAACGAGUGCUUUAAAGGCAUACAAGGACGGUCCUUUCAAGAGUACCUGUAAUCGCAAAAGGCAAGCAUAAUCAGCAGGAAAUCUUGCAUAUAAUGCAGCAAUGUACGAGGAACAAAAAUGAUAUGAGUGCUUAUUAUUUAAAAAAAAAAAAGUUACAGUCAAUGCACUAUGCAUUUAAGUGAGACAUUAGGACCCAUGGUGAAUAAUAUAAUUGAUUUUGUUCAAACAUAAAUUGGUCUAUCAUGAUGACUGCUGGUACCUAAAAUAAGUUUGUCAGUACCUGUUGAUGACUCAAAUACUAUUUAAUCUCCAAGGAACUUAGACUUUACAAGUAUUAACAAGUGAAAUCUCAAUUUCAUGAGUGUCAACGAAUAAUGCUGUUAAAAGAGCAAGUCUACCCAGAAAAAGAACAUCAAAUAUUAUUUUUGCACUGAAUUGGUCUAUACAUAAAAAGUUUGGCAACUAAGACAAUUUUAAGUUUUAAAGAGUAAGAACAGAUGAAAGAAAACAAAAUAAGAAAGGAUGCAAAAUGAUAACCUCAUAUCCUGCACCCAUUAGAAUAACACCGAAAAGUAAGAAAGGAUGCAAAAUGAUAACCUCAUAUCCUGCAUCCAUUAGAAUAACACCCAAAUCUUGAAGAGAUGGUCUCGGAAGAGUACUUGAAAAUUCCUACUUUUCAGAUUGCCUCGGUAGAAUGUAAAAAACUCUAUCCGCAUAAAUUACAGAGUUGUGUCAACGGAAAGCUUAUCCAAAUCAUUUCCAUUGUAGCAAAGGAUUUUGGUAGAAUAACCAGACCUUUUUGCAACCUUAAUCAGGGUGAUUUGUGUAAUGUAACUGCAGGCCAUGAGUGAUAAUCCCAUUAUUUUGCCUCAAGAGAUAGAAUUCAACGGAUCAAAACCUGCGUAGGAUAGCUAGGUCUUAACCUUUGAACAUUCUCUUGUGAAAUAUAUUUACUUUACUAACUAAUUAGUAGAUGCGAUGUCUUUGAACUAUCCCGUCGUUUAUGUAAAUAAUAGUAUAUUUCAUACAUAAAUUUUUCCUAAUACUUUUGAGUUCUCAUGGUUACGUUCAUUUUGGUGAUGAACAUCUACUUGGUUCCACAAGAAUUUAUAAGAAUUGAGCCAUAAACAAUUCCCUUUGAAGUCGCCUCACUUCUCUCUUAUAUUUGUGAUUUUUUAAAUCAAAAGUAGCCUUUACUUUGCUUGGAUUUCCAACACAUAAGAAGCCAUUAAAAGGAUAGCAUACCUUUUCUUUCUACAGGCAUCAUUAUUUUCAUCAUAGGGAUGGACAUGAGGCUAAUCCCUGCAGUGAUCCAACAAGGUAUUUUAUAAUUAAAUUGUCCCUUUGAACCUAGUUCUCGGUAUCUCCAGUCAGUUAAGUUGGGUUUUCUUUCAUAAAAUAAACAUUUUAUUCUUCAGGCUUUAGUCUCAUUCCCCUCAAUGUUUUUUUCUACUAACUAUCUAUUUAACACUUUGGUUAGUGGAUCUGCAAUGUUAUCCUUUGACUUUAUAUAGUCAAUAGAAAUAACUCUAGUAUAGAGUAGUUAUCUAAUGGUGUUAUGUCUAUGACGUAUAUAUCUAGACUUAUCGUUAUACAUAUUGCUACGUUCCCUUCCAAUUAUGGAUUAACUAUCACAAUAUAUGCAAAUUGCUGGUACAAAUUUUACCCGUUUGGAAUAUCAUUUAAAAAAUUCCCUAGCCAUUCUGCCUCUUUACCACAUUUUUCUAAUGCGAUGAAUUCAUAUUCCAUUAUUGACUUGGCUAUCAUUGUUUAUUUGGAUGAUUUUCAUGAAACGACAACACCUGCUAGUUUAAACACGUAGCCACUGGUAGACUUUGAGUCUUUUACAUCAAAUAUCCAGUUUGCAUCAUUGUACCCUUCUAGUAUAGCUAGAUAAUAGUAUAAUGUAGCUCAUAUUUACGAGUAUAGUGUAAGCAUAUGAGUACUCUUACUAUAGCUUUCCAGUGAUCGGCAAUUGGAUUACUCAUAUAGCUAGUAAGUUUGCUUACUGUAUAAACUAAGUUUGGCCUUAUACAACUUGUUAGGUACAUCAGACUGUUUAUCACUCUACAUUCUUCCACUUGAGAGAACCUUCACCUCUAUUCGUAGAUAGAUGCAAACUUGUAUCCAGAGGUGUUCUUGGCCCAACAUAAUCUUCUUUGUUGAAUUUUCUAAGAAUUUUAUCCAUAUAAUGUGAUUGAUUCAGAAUAAGUUUUUUAGACGUCUUUCAAAUUUUUAUUCCCAAAAUGACAUUUGCUAGAGCCGUGUUUUUCAUGUCAAAACUAGACUUCAACAUAUUAUUGGUAAAUAUGAUCAUUUUGUCAUCACUCCCAACAAUUAACAUUUCAUCAACGUAAAGACAUAAAAUGACAUAGCCAUUUUCUACCUUUUUGAUGUAUAUAUAUAUAUAUAUAUAUAUAUAUAUAUAUAUAUAUAUAUAUAUACAUACAUUAUAAAUGUUCAAAUCUAGAAUUUUAAAGUGUAGGAACGUCCGAGAAAAUAUAUAAAUCGUACGGUUUAAGCGCUUUAUUUCAUAUAUAUAUAUAUAUAUAUAUAAAAUGAGCCUCUUGUUCACUAUCUUGAAUUUCUUCUUGUUCUUGGUCCUCACUAUCUUCGUUGAUAGCCUCAUGUGUUUGUUUAAUCAAACUUGAAUCUUUCUUGAAUUUACAUGGAAACACAUGCUCAAAGAAUGAUGCAAUUUUGGAUUUUAUUAUUGUAUUCUUAUAAAUAUCUAGUGUGAUAUGCACUACUAUUAUGUGAAUAACUUAUGAAAAUGCAAUCAACAGUCUUUAUUUAUGUCUUUUUUUCUCUUUUUAUGAAGGAAUGACAACUUUAGCAAGACACCCCUACACUUGCAAGUAUUUGUAGGAAAAUACUCUACUCUUCUAUAGUUCAUACGAGUCUUUUUUGCUUCUUUUUAGGGUACCUUUUUAAAAGGAUAAAACAACUUCUCCCCACAUAUUCUUAGGUAUCCCAAAACUUAUUAAUAUUGCAUUCAUAAUUUUUUUGAAGGUAUGAUUUUUUCGUUUAGUAAUCUCAUUAAAUUAAGGCGACUAAGGAGCUGUAGUUUGAUGUAUGAUUCCAUAUUACUCAGAAAGUGACUUAAAUAGAAUAAUAUACUCACCACCUCUAUCAAUUCUCAACUCCUUAAUUUCCUUAUAUAGUUUAUUCUCAACUUCAUUUUUAUAGAGCAUAAAUUUCUCUAUAGCUUUGUUCUUGCUUUUUAUAUAUAGGUAAUAAAAUAUUUAUUACCGCACCUCGAUUCUAUGGAUUUAAAAUCAUAAUCACUAUGUAUUAAGCCAAGUUUCAAUUCCUUGAAAUGAUAACCUUAUUCAUUUUGUUUCAAUAGAAAAGUCACACUUAUGUUUCGUACCAAUUCGGAAAGUGGGUAUAUGAUUCAUGUUAAUUAACUUAUGCAAGGCAUUAUAAUUAACAUAUCCUAAUCUAUCAUGCCAUAAAUUAGAAAACUCAAGAAAAUAAGCAAAAGAAAUAGCUUUAUUAUUCUUUGUUUUUACAACUAUUACAUUCAAUUUGAACAGCCCAUCAAGUACGUAUCAUUUUCCCAUAUACAAUCCAUUUUUAGGCAAAAUUAUUUUAUCUGACUCGAACACCAUUCGGAAUCCAUACUUGUUUAAAAGCAAUCCAGAUACGAGAUUCUUGUGAAUUUCUAGCACGUACAAAACAUUGUUUAGAAUUACCUCUUUUCUAGAAGUCAUCUUUAGAAUCAUUUGUCUUUGACCUUCUAUCUCAAGCGUGGUUGAAUUCUCUAUAUAUAGCUUUUCACCUUUUCUAUUACAUUCAAAGAAAAUAAACAUUUCUUUUAUCUGAGCAUACAUGUCAAAUGGCAACACUGUCAAUCCACUAUCUCUUAGAUUGAAGUGCACCAGAUCUACUUCAAAAACUACUCUAGAAAGAUUAAUGUCUAACAUAUCUUUUGACAUGUCCUCUACCAAAUUAGUUUCUCGAUGUCCCUUUUUCUUUGGCAAUCCACAUUCCAAAGCCUUGUGAUUCAUUUUAUCAUAGUUGAAGCAUUUCCUUUGAAAUUUGGUUUGCUUAUUGGAAAUCCAUCCUUUCGCACCUAGCUUGUUCUUGUUGGCCUUUCUAUUCCUAGUACUUUGACUACAUUCUAUAGCAUUGGCCUUAACCAUAGAAAUGACAAUUUUUUUUUUCAGUUGCUUCUUCAGCUUAAAGUUUGAUAAUUAGAUAUUUAAAAUUCAUUUCCUUUCUCUUAUGCUUUAGAUAACUCUUGAAAUUUUUUCAUGUUGGAGGCAGUGAUAGCAGCCACUUAAAAGUUUCAUUGAAAUCCAUCCCUUUGGGAUAAAUUUCUGCUAGAAUAAUUUGCUUGUCUUGAACUUGAUUUGUAACAAUUUUGAAGCCCAUUAUCUAAUAAUCUAGGAAGCAGCCUAUGACAUGACAAAUUUCUUAGUACUAGCAUCCUCAGUUUAUAUUUUCGCUCUAACGACUCCUAUAGCUCAGUGGCUCUUUUCUUUCCAACAUACACACUAUGUAAAGAAUUGCUCAAAGCCAUUCAACAUAUAAUUUCUACAAAGAAAAUUGGAAUGAUUCCAAGCAUUUAUUGCAGUAAUAAGAAUCUUCCAAGAUUUAAGGUGGUCAAGUAAAAGAAAAUUUUUUAUUGUUACCAUUUGAAGUUCUUUUAGUGAAUUUCUUAGGUUUUUUGCAUGAAGAAUAACUACAGAGACAACAGCACCAGUGCCAACACUAGCACACGAGAUAGUAGGAAGAGGGUCAAAAUUUCUCGUUUGCUAGCCCAUAUUAGUUGCCAUUUCAACAAAUAAAAUCUAUUAUAAGAUUAUUGUGUGUGUUAUUAUUAAUUAGCAAGCAAUAUAAGACUACCCACUUUGUAUGCAAAAAUAUACUAGUUAGGUUCUUAGAAAAAACUAGAGGGAUGAUAGUGGUUCCGCUUAAAAGCCAAACUCCUUGGGUAAUCUAUAUAGCCUUGAUGAUAAAACUUUUCUAAUGUACUUAAGAUUACUAAUAAGUCUCUUACACACCUAUCACAAUUUUAUAAUAUUAAUAAUAAAUUAAAUUUAAAUAGCAAAUAUAUAACAUAUAAAUCAACAAUGCCUAUAAAGAUAUAGUGUCCUUAAAAAAGAUUCGUCACUUUCGCAAUGGCGUUUAAAUUAGAUUGGUGUAUGUGUCCCAAAAUACAAUGGACCUAAAUAGUGUUGACAACAUAACGCCACUAUUCUAGCGAACUUUCAACAAAUAUUUGAAUUCUGUCACACUGAAGUCCAAAACUAGAAAUUAUUUGCUUAAGAGAGAAGAAUAAGAAUCACUUGGAUUUUUGGUGUAUUUUGCAAGUGAACACAAAAGCCAAUAUAUAUAGGUUUCAAAGGACAACUUUAGUUAGUUAAAAUUCAAUGUGGGAUUUUUUUGCAUUUCCCCAAACCAAUAAGUGCUUUUUAAGAUUCAAUUUCUGAUUCACUCAAACACCAAUUUGAGCAUAUAUGAUUUGUUGAAAACUUCACAGAGAAGAUUUCGAAUUAUCCAUGUAACUAUAUUUGUUUAAUAUUUUUUUCUCAAAAUUGGUCUCAGAGUAGCUACCUUGUGCUAUUUUUUCUAACAAAUAUAAGUCCAACUCUGCCCAUUAACCCAUCAGAUUAAUGAGACCUUGCCAUUAAGCCAUCAAAAUGGUGAGGAGACCAGCUCUUCCCAUUAACUUAUCAAAAUAAUGAAGUUAGAGUUUUUCCUCAGAAAUUUCAUGAACUGAUAUCAAGUGUUUUCAAAGAAUCUAGAUUUCUCAAAAGAAGUUAGUAACUCACCCAAAAAUCCAUUACAAAAAAGGUAUAGAUCAUUGAGCUUGGUAAGUUUAACUUCCAAGUGAACAUGGAAUUUUUCCUUAAAAAGAGGAGAAUCUUAUAUCCAAGUAGGAUAAUGAUCCAAUAAUUUAUAUUUAAGGAAUUUUACUUGAAAACUUGGUAAAUGAAAGUCCCAAUCUCCAAGCAAAAUCCCUUUCUGAAAUUCUGGCAAGUAUACAGAGUGAUCUACAUUGAACAUAAGAUCAAGACAUUGAAGGUUGAGCAAUUGAAAAAUCUCUUCAGGAAAUUCACCUUGCAAAGAACAUUCACUGAGAGAUAAGUAAAUCAAAGAAGAUAAAUUUGCCAUUGCUGGAGUAACUGCAGAAGAAAUAUCGAUAUCGAUAAGGUAAAGUGCACUCAUGUUGGUCAACUUCUUAGCUAGAUUUUGUUAGACCUGGCUUUUGGACCUCCAUCUUGGAGAGCUCUAGCAACUCUGUUGGUACUUGACCUAAAAAGAAAGACAGAGAGAGAUCCAGAGAUGUUAGCUUCGAAAGUUUCAGGAUUUGAGAUGGAAUUUUACAUAGAAGGAAUGUAAAAUUGAUAGAACCAUAGAGGCAACUACUAGUGAGUUUAGCAUGAUCACAUGACCAGUGUCCUAAUGAUCACAUUCGAUGCCAUCCCAUGACCAACAGUCAGUAACAUUUCCUUCCUCCUGGCACCAAGAUUCAACCUUGGUAUAAGCUUAAGGAUAAGCAGAAACAAAGUUAUCAAUCACAAGGCUUUGUUUGAAUUGCAAUAAGGCAGAACGCUCAUCAUUACGGCACUGUCGGUGCAAAUGAGCAAGAUAAUAACUAAUAAGAUAAAACAAUGAGAGCAAAACAAUUGCAUGCAUGCAAUUGAAGUGAGAUGAGAAUAACCCCCAUAAUGCUUUUAACACAAUAGGAUAUGAAAGCUUUGAGGAAUUUUCUUUAAAGGCCAUGCAUGGAACUGAGAUGAGGUUUAUAUCGGCAGUUCCAAGUGCAUCUAUUAUCUCCAAGUCAAUCUAGUUUCUUUUUCCACUAAUGUGAGCAGGUAUAAAUUCAAUAUAUUUUGUUUCCACUCAAGAAAUUUUGCCAACUAAAUUAUUGGCACCUAUAUAUAUUUGGGGUGGGUAAAAGGCUGAGCCGAAGCGAAAGUGUUUUAGAUAAAAAAAAAAAAUUAUUUUUAGUAGUAAAAUAUAAAUUUACGAAUGCUUUAUGAUCAGUUAUGUUGCAGUAUAAGCUAGUUCUUAAAAAAAAAAAUAAAUUUAUAGUGUAAUUGAAUACGUGUCAGUUUUGAUAAUUUUUAAGAACAAUAAUAUCGAAUAUGAAUCUUCAUGCAAUUAAAUGUGUUGUAUCAUAAUCAUAAAAAGCGGAAUAUUUAACCCAACAAGAUUCAAACAUUUGAUACGUUAUAAAACAUACUGGCUUUUAACUAAGAGCCGUUGAGAAUGCUAUCAACCGAAAACUCUCUCGACAAGAACAGCCCCCCUCCCCUUGAGGAUGACAGAUCGACUAAGAAAACCAAAUUCAGAGCACAGGGGGAGGAUGGAGAUAACCCAUCUAUGCUAUCCUUUCGAGAUAAGCUCAUGGAACAACAAAGGGGGAUAUUGGAUGCUGAAAUCGGUAGAGAAGAACUCAUAGGGAGGGAAAAGGAUAUUGAAAUCGAAAAGGAGGAUGUGGUCAUUGAACGGGAAGGCUAUUUACCUUCGAUUUCUUUUUCACAAAAAGUCCAUGAGCAACUAAUAAAACCAUGGCAAUCCACUGUGGUGGUGAAACUCCUUGGUCGCAUGAUUGGAUACAAAGCACUUUGCUCACGGCUGGAAAUCUUGUGGCCAAAUAUUGGGGGAUACUCUGUUAUAGAUUUGGACAAUGGCUAUUUUCUCGUUAAGCUCAGGAAGGAAUGCGAUGCUGACUUUGUUCUUACAGAAGGGCCAUGGCUGGUCGCGGGGCAUUACCUGACUGUUCAGCCAUGGUCACCUCAUUUCGACAGCUCGAAUGAAAAGAUUGACAAAAUCACAGCAUGGAUAAGGCUUCCAGGUAUGCCUUUACACUACUACCAUAAAAAAAUCAUUAGAAUGUUGGGGCAUGUCAUUGGAAAGGUUAUCAAAAUUGAUUAUAAUACGGAAUUGGCGACGAGAGGGAAGUUUGCCCGUAUUGCAGUUGAAGUAUCCCUUGGAAGUCCUUUAAUCUCUCAAUUUUUAUUGGAUGGUAGAAUCCAAAGGAUUGAAUAUGAAGCUCUCCCAACAAUAUUCUUUGGAUGUGGAAAGUAUGGACACAUUUCUUCCGCAUGUCCAGAUACUUUGAGGUUGGAAACUAGAGGGGAGAAGGCGAAUGAUAUGGCUCUAGGUGGCAACACCAACGCAAAAUCAGAGGUCUCGCCGGCGGUAGUAAAUCUGGAAAAUCCUAAAUUUGGCCCUUGGAUGAUCGUGGCUAGGAGAGGAAAUUAUAGAGGAAAUAAGGGAAGAAUAGAUGCACAGGAGCCGAAUCAAAACAGCUUUGGAAAACAGAAAAUAGGCUCCAGAUUCAGUGUUUUACAUCAGGAAAAUGGGUUAGAAAAUGAUGCUGGGGUGAGUUCAAACGCGGCUACCACCAUGGACAACCACAAGAAGACCGUUGAUCCGACCAAAGACAAGGACAUGGUGAUAUCACGUGACUCUAAAGGACCCACCCCAACGAAGUCGGCUGGGAGCAAAGGAAAACUCGUGACCAGAAAUGAGAAGACUGACACACCUGAACACACUGCACCCACACCUUUCCGUGAAAUACACACUAGACCUCUCCCCCCCACAAAUGAACCCAGCUCAUCAAAACAACAACCCCUCGAGGCCAUGGAUAGAAAUAUCUCAAGAAACAAAUCUAAGUUAUCUAGAACCCAUCAUUUUGAACCAACUUUAAUCCCAACGUCGCUAGAUCCUAAAUAUCAUUCAGCAAUUAUAUUCAAAAACAACUUUGAAAAUGAGACCUCUCAGCCCCCCCUGUCAAUCCCUCCCAAACCAAACCCAAAUGAGGAGCCUCCUGAUAUAGGAGAUAGAGACAUAGAAAAGGUGGGGAGGGAAUCAUCCGACAGCGAGUAUAUGGAGGAAUCAGAGGAGGAUGAUUCUGAGAACUCAGAAGAGUCUAAAUUUUUCGUUGAGGCGGAUAAUAUGGAGGUUAAUCAGCAAGGCUUUGAGCCUUUGGAGUAAGUUGGUCCUUCUCUUUCAUUUCUAUUAUAUAAUGAAUCUGUCUUUUUUGUUUCGGAAUUGUCAGGGGGCGGCCUCGCAGUCCUUUAGACGAAUUUUCAGGAUGUUUACUCAAAGUUAUAAACCUCAGCUUGUGGCUCUUUGUGAACCCCGGAUUAGUGGAGUGAAAGCGGAUGAUUUUAUUCGUCAUAGUGGGUACGAUUAUUCCCAUCGUGUGGAGGCGGCUGGUUUCUCAGGUGGAAUUUGGCUUCUAUGGAAAGCGGGUUUAGAUGUCACCAUCCUCAUUAACCAUAGGCAAUAUAUUCACCUCCAAGUGUCGGAUAAAAGAGGGUUAAUUACCUGGGUCACAGCGAUUUAUGCUAGCCCUGUUCCUUCUCUCCGAAACUCUCUUUGGAAUGAUAUAAAUUAUUUGGCUGAGAAUAUUCAGGGUCCUUGGUUGCUAGCAGGUGACUUCAAUGCUAUUCUUUCAAUCUCAGAGAGUAAAGGAAGCACUAAUAACCGUAGCCAGCCUUGUAAAAAGUUUCAAGAGUGGUUCCACAAACACGGCCUCUGCGACCUCCAUUAUACGGGGCCAAAAUUUACUUGGAAAAGAGGUUCCCUUUAUAAGCGCUUAGAUAGAGCCAUUUGCAAUGAUAGGUGGUUCAACACUUUUAACAAGGCGCGAGUCUUUCAUUUACCAAGAUUGGGGUCUGACCAUCGUCCGAUUCUCCUAAGUUUGAAUGAUGAGAGUAUUGGAAACAUAGGGGUGAAACCUUUUCGUUUCCUUGCUUCUUGGCUCAUUGACAAGCGGUUCUCGGGCUUUGUUUCUCAGGUGUGGAAGAAGGAUGUGGAUUAUACUGUUUCGGUAAAGGAGUUUACUGAAAAAAUUGACCAUUGGAACAAGAAUGAGUUUGGAAACAUCUUUCAGCGGAAAAAAAAUAUCUUAGGUCGAUUAAAUGGAAUCCAAAAAGCGCUAGAGAGUCACCAUUCGGAUAAUCUAGUAAAGCUGGAGACUCAGCUCAGCAAGGAGCUUAACGACAUUCUUAAUCAAGAAGAACUCUUGUGGGUUCAGAAAUCGCGAUGUGAUUGGAUCCAGUUUGGAGACAGAAAUACUUCUUUUUUCCACCAGAGGACAAUGACGAGGAGAAGACAUAACCACAUUGUCUGGAUGAAAGAUGAUAGGGGCCAGUGGAUUUCGGAUGAGGAUGAGCUUAAGGCUCAUGCUAUCAAUUUUUUCACCAAGUUAUACAUGGCUGAUAAUAAUUCUAUUGAGAGCUAUUAUACCCCUAAUGAUUUUCCUUGCAUUGAUACAGGGAGGAACCAUGACAUGGAGAAACCAGUGGAUGACGAGGAAAUUCGUGACAUUAUUUUCAGCAUGAAACCAUUAAAGGCACCGGGGAGUGAUGGCCUGCACGCUAUUUUCUACCAAGCUCAAUGGGAGGUGGUGGGAAAGUCGGUUUGCAAACAAAUCAAAGAUGUUUUCAAUGGAGAGACAGUGCCUGAAGAUUUCUUGAAGAUUUUAAUCGUUCUUAUUCCUAAAAUUGACAAUCCAACUAGUUUAAAUUCUUUUCGACCUAUUAGUCUUUGCACAAUUAUGUAUAAAACGAUCACUAAGAUUAUCGCUAAUAGAUUAAAAACUUUUCUCCCUGACCUUGUAGGUUCGCAUCAAACGAGCUUUGUUCCAGGAAGGCAUAUCACCGAAAACAUUAUUAUCGCCCAGGAGGUUAUUCACAGUAUGAGACGGAAGACGAGCAAACGAGGCUUUAUGGCUAUCAAAGUAGAUUUGGAGAAAGCUUAUGACAGAUUAAGUUGGGAGUUUAUCAAGGAGACUUUGGAUUUUGUGGGUCUUCCUACAAAUUUUAUACGAAUCAUAAUGGAGUGCAUCACUUCCGGCUCCAUGCAAAUUCUUUGGAAUGGCAAGCUGACCGAAUCAUUCAAGACUUCUAGAGGGAUUCGUCAGGGGGAUCCAAUCUCUCCUUACAUUUUUGUGCUAUGUAUUGAAAGACUCAGCCAUCUCAUUAACCGAGAAGUGCAGCAGAAUCGAUGGAAACCCAUAAGGCUGUCCCGGAAUGGUAUACCCUUUACCCAUCUUUUCUUUGCUGACGACCUUCUUCUCCUUGCAGAAGCCUCCUCUGAUCAAGCGAAGGUGGUGAUCAAAACUUUGAAGAAUUUCUGUAACAUGUCUGGAGAGAAAGUUAGCACAGAAAAAACUCAUUUAUAUUUCUCAAAAAAUGUGGCUCCUGCGGUGUCAAAGGAAAUUAGUGAGCUAAGUGGGUUCUCAACCUCCAAAGACUUGGGGAAGUAUUUGGGUAUGCCGCUUCUUCAUGGUCGGGUGACCAAUAAAACCUAUCAGGAGGUCCUAGAUCGUGUAGAUAAACGGCUCUCAGGAUGGAAUGCUAAGCACCUCUCUUUUGCUGGAAGGCUGACCCUCACUCAAGCGGUAAUCCAAGCCUUGCCAAUUUACUCUAUGCAAACCACAAUGAUUCCGCGAGGCACUCAAGAAAAAAUCAAUCGCAUUUCUCGCCGAUUUAUAUGGAGUGGAAAUAAUGAAAGGAAUAGCAUGGCCAUGGCUAGCUGGGAAAGAAUCUGUCAACCCAAAAUGGUAGGAGGGCUUGGCUUAAAAAAUCUUCGCUACAUCAAUGAGGCGCUGUUGAUGAAGAUUGGGUGGAAUAUUGUUGUGUCCCCUACCAGCCUGUGGAUUAAAGUGUUAUGCUCUAAAUAUGGAGUUGAGAACGAUAACCUCCCCACAGAGUUACCUACAAGAUACGGUUCUUAUGUGUGGCGUGCUGUGGGCACGGUGUGGAAUAAAGUCUUGCAGGGGAUUUGUUGGCAAGUUGGAGAUGGGUCAAAGGCUCGUUUUUGGAAAGAUUGUUGGGUUAUGCAAAAUGUAAGGUUGAAGGAUUAUGCUGUGAUGCCGGUGUCGAGCAAUAUGCUGGAAAACUCGAUCAGGGACUAUGUGAACGAUCAUGGGCAAUGGAACUGGAAUGUUUUUAGCAAUUAUCUUCCUCACAGCUUAGUGCUUGCUAUUGCUGCCAUUAUGCCUCCUUGUGUCGAGGGGGGUAUGGACCGCAUAUUUUGGGGCUUCUCGACUAAAGGAAAUUUUACAGUGAAAUCAGCUUACCAAAAUAUUUCAAGCCGAGUCUCCAGCAAUAUUGGACCAAGAUGGGAUCUUAUUUGGAGCUGGAAAGGGCCCCAAAGUGGAAAAACUUUCAUGUGGUUGGCUAUUCAAAAAAAAUUAAAGACUAAAGCUGAGCUUGCUAGAAGACAUAUUUUGGCAGAAAACAAUUGUGAGAGAUGUAAAGUUUGCGUGGAAGACUCGCUUCAUGCCCUUAGAGAUUGUGUGGUAGCCAAGCGUAUUUGGUUAGACAUAGUCCCGUGUAGCUUACGUGGAAGUUUUUUCUCUUUAAAUUUAGAGGAUUGGAUUCUUACUAAUCUAAAGCCUAACUGUUAUGAUUGUAAUGGAGUGGACUGGUCGGGAAUUUUUGGCACGGCAAUCUGGCGGUUGUGGUUUUGGAGGAACCAAGCUCUGUUUAAGAAAGUACAGAGGAGCAGUCAAAGCAUCACUUUAGAUAUUAUGACCAGAGCUGAAAAUGCCCAUAAAACCAUGAUGGCCUUGAUCAAGCCUGGAGCUUCAAAGAUGGUUAAAUACUUUGGGUGGAAACCUCCUCCUGAAAAUGUCUUCAAAUUGAAUACUGAUGGGGCCUGCAAAAAGAUGAACAUGGCAGCUGCAGGGGGCUUGAUAAGAAAUGCAAAUGGGAUCUGGAUUGCUGGAUUCUGUACGAACAUUGGAAUUAGUUCGGUUACAAAUGCUGAGCUUUGGGGUUUAUUCUAUGGUCUUGACCUGGCUUGGAAGAUGGGAAUUCGGUCUUUGUUGGUUGAAGUUGACAGUAAGUGCAUCACUGAGCUUCUUGCAGACACGAACAAUAACCCAAGCAAAUUUUCUUCUGUGAUUCAAAGUAUCCGAAGGCUCAUAAAUAGAGAAUGGCAUGUGUGCAUUAGCCACAUUUACCGCGAAGCAAACUUUGCAGCGGAUUUUCUUGCAAAUUUCGCAAUGAGGCAACCUCUUGGUUUUCAUGUCCUCCACAACCCUCCGAAUGGUGUUGUUAAUUGUUUAACUUAUGACAUGUACGGGAAUACUUUCCCACGUUUUGUUUCGGUUUAGCCUUGUUUGGCUCCCUUUUAUAUCAAAAAAAAAAAAAACAUUUGAUACGUUAUUGUUAUUGGAGGAUACAAAUGUUGCUAAUCCCAAAAAAAGCCCCUAAACUUAUUUCUCUCUUUUUAACGUUUAACGAACUUUGGAUCUCGCGGGAAAAUCCCUCCAACGUGGCGACCUACAAUUGGCUACUCUACGUGUUUGAUUAAAGUCCGAUUCUAAUUUUGAGUUCUUGUGAGAUUUGACGAAAGAACUCAUCAUGUUAAGUAUGUCUUAGGAUUUAAUAUAGAUAAGGAAUCCUAGUCCUUGAAUGCUGCGGCCGGCAAGCAAAAGCAACGUGUUUCAUCAUCAUUGGCUCGACUACUAUAGCAAAGAACAAAGGACACAAACACUAUAAAUAGCUCGCCCCUUCAAGCUCGUUUCGCUCCACUUGAAAACAGAGAAAGCAGAGGAAACGCUUCAUAAAAGCAGCCAAAAAAACAAAUCCAGAGAGAAAGCACGCGCAAAAGCAAGCAAAACAAUGAAGAUCAAGAACAAAGCAUUAGCUAUCUUUUUUCUCUUUGCUUUACGUAAGUACUUUCCUCUUUCUGUUCUGCUAGAAGAAACCUUUAUCAUCGUAUUUGGUUUUGUUUAUGCUCUGUUCUUUUGGCCGAAUUUUACUCUUUUUUUUUUUUUUUUUUCAGAUUUCUCGUCAGGUUUAGCUGCAGCGGAUGAUACUACAACGAAGCUAAGGACGGUGAUUGGCAUUGAUCUAGGGACUACGUAUUCUUGUGUGGGUGUAUACAGAAACGAUCAUGUAGAGAUUAUAGCGAACGACCAAGGCAACAGAAUCACCCCGUCAUGGGUUGCAUUCACUGAUACUGAACGUCUGAUUGGGGAAGCCGCCAAAAAUCAAGCGGCCCUCAACCCAGAGCGUACGAUCUUUGAUGUGAAGCGCCUCAUCGGGGGAAAGUAAGCAGUCACACACCCUGUUUUAGUUUACGAUAGUUUAUUGUUGGUGUGUGUUUGGAGGCGAUUUUGUGCUUGUCUGGUAAUAGAGUUAAAGCUGUUUUUAAGUAAUUCUCUAAAAAAGCACUUUUAAACUCGCUUGUUUGCUUUUGAUGCUGUAGGUUUGAUGAUCCUGAGGUGCAAAGAGAUAUGAAGUUCUUGCCUUAUAAGGUUGUGAACAAAGGUGGCAAGCCUUAUAUUCAAGUGAAAGUGAAAGGAGAGACCAAGGUCUUUAGCCCUGAGGAGAUCAGUGCUAUGGUGCUUCAAAAGAUGAAGGAAACAGCUGAGGCAUUCUUGGGGAAGAAAAUUAAAGACGCUGUCGUUACCGUUCCAGGUACAUAUACAUAUUACCGUUCUUGUUCUGUACUGUUUGCAUAUCUUGUAUUGUAGUCUAAUGGGUGUCUUUUUGGUUGUUGAUUUUAGCUUAUUUCAAUGACGCGCAAAGGCAGGCAACGAAGGAUGCAGGGGUCAUAGCCGGGCUCAAUGUGGCUCGGAUAAUCAAUGAGCCCACAGCCGCGGCUAUUGCCUAUGGUCUCGACAAGAAAGAGGGAGAGAAGAACAUUUUGGUCUAUGAUCUUGGUGGUGGUACAUUUGACGUUAGUAUCUUGAAUAUUGACGAUGGUGUGUUUGAGGUUCGUGCCACACGCGGAGACACUCACUUGGGAGGAGAGGACUUCGAUCACAGAGUCAUGGACUAUUUCAUUAAGUUGAUUAAGAAAAAGUACAGCAGAGAUAUAAGCAAUGAUAACAAGGCUCUUGGGAAGCUUCGAAGGGAAUGUGAGAGGGCCAAGAGAGCUCUGAGCAGCCAGCAUCAAGUCAGAGUGGAGAUUGAGUCACUCUUUGACGGUGUUGAUUUCUCGGAGCCAUUGACAAGAGCAAGAUUCGAAGAGUUGAACUUGGACCUGUUCAAGAAGACAAUGGGGCCUGUGAAGAAGGCAUUGGAAGAUGCCCGGUUGAAGAAAACUGACAUUGAUGAGAUUGUACUUGUCGGAGGAAGUACUCGAAUCCCCAAGGUUCAGCAAUUGUUGAAGGACUUGUUUGAUGGGAAGGAGCCUAACAAGGGCGUCAAUCCAGAUGAAGCUGUUGCAUAUGGCGCAACAGUUCAAGGUGGGAUUCUUAGCGGCGAAGGGGGUAAAGGUAAAGGAUCCACUAUUUUUUUUUUUUAAUCUUCUCUUUUAUCAGGAUGCAAUUGAUUAAUUAGAAUAGCUAAGUAUACAAAGCUUUUUGUUUGCUGCAGACCUUCUAUUGCUGGAUGUGACUUCCUUGAGUCUUGGUAUUGAAACAGUGGGUGGUGUUAUGACCACGCUAAUUCCCCGGAACACUGGUAUCCCCACUAAGAAAUCUCAGGUUUUUUCCACUUACCAAGACCAGCAAAGCACAGUGACUAUUAAGGUAUAACAAGUGAUUUGCAUGAUUGCAUACGCGGAUAAACUGAUGCUGCACAUUCAUUCUUUCUACUUUUGAACUAACAUGUACUUGAAAAUUGAAAUUAAAAUUCAGGUGUACGAAGGUGAAAGAAGCUUGACAAAGGAUUGUCACGAGCUUGGACGAUUCGAUCUAUCUGGCAUUCCACCUGCUCCAAGGUAAAUUACAUUUCAAUAUAUGCAUUCGAUUGGUUGAAGAUUGAUCUGGAUACUUAACAUGUUCUAAAUGUUGUUACAGGGGAGUUCCUCAAAUUCAGGUCACAUUUGAUGUUGAUGCCAAUGGUAUCCUACAUGUGACAGCUGAAGACGAGGCAGCGAAGAACAAGCAAUCCAUCACCAUAACCAAUGAUAAGGGCCGUUUCAGCGAGGAAGAGAUUCAGAGGAUGGUGAAGGAGGCUGAGGAAUACGCGGAGGAGGAUAAGAAUGCGAGGGAGAGGAUUGAUUCCAGGAACAAGUUGGAAAGUUACAUCUACAACAUGAGGAGCACCAUCAACGAAAAAGAUAAUCAUAAGCUUGCUGACAAGAUCGAUUCUGAUGAUAAGGAGAAGAUCGAGAGCACACUGAUGGAAGCUCUUGAAUGGUUGGAUGACAAUCAGAAUGCCGAGAAGGAUGAUUUUGAUGCGAAGCUGAAGGAGGUGGAAGCUGUAUGCAAUCCUGUGAUCAAAGAGGUUUAUGAGAAGAGUGGGGGGAGUUCGUCACCUGCUGAUUAUUCAGAAGAUGAAGAACCAGAUGAUGAGCUGUAAAAACCUUGGGGAUUCAAUUUUCUUUUGUUGCCUUUUUAUUUUUUUUGUUUAUUUUGCCAUGUUGUCAACUAAUUUCCCAGAGAUACCAUAAAUGUUAUUCUAAUAGUUACCAUCAAUUUUUCUGAAAUGACUUUUAAUUGUUUAAAUCUAUUUGUGAUUGUACUGAUUUCUUAUAUUUACAAGCACAUAACAAUAUUGAACCAAAAUGUUAUUAAGAAUUCUGAUGCCUUUACAAAAAAAGAAAAAGAAAAAAGAAACAGAAGCAAGUUAAAUAAGCAAAAGCAAAAGUAGACAGAGACUAGCUAAUAAAUUGCAGCAGCUAAUGAAUAAUCUUCAAGCAUUAAAGAAGUCGAUAAGCAUGGAAACUGAAGCUUCAGAGUGAGGCAACACAAGUGAAUGAGAUUUCAUUGCUUGUAUGAAAGCAGAGACUUUCCCAGCGUCAAGAAAGUUAUUGCUGUGUUCUUUAGCUUCAACGGCCUGGCUGCUGCUGCUACUACUGCUGCUUGAUUCAACAACAUUAAUAAUAUUGUGGUGGCUGGAGCCAUUAUCAUUUCCCCAAAUGGUUAGACCCUUUUCACGCAGCUUGGCUAACUCACUUGUCCAUAUAUCCACAAGUGCAGACAUUAUUGUUGCUAAUUAAAUUUUGAAGAAGAUAUCUUGAGUUAAUGUUUUUGAUUGUAAGAUGUUUUGAGAUAUCAAGAUUUUGAUGGCUGAAUGGGGUUUAUAAAGGCUAUGAUCAAUUGUUGGUUUUGUUUCGAUUUUCAACGGCGCACAAAUUUUGUUGUAUAGAGCGAUCAAGUUCACA